AUCUUCCUCAAAAGUUAAAAAUUGUGCAACUCUAUCUGGAAUUUUGCCUGAGAAGUUAUUGUAUGCUACACUGAAGACCGCCAAUGUAUUUAGCACAGUGAGCUGAGAAGGGAUUUUCCCAUGUAGUAGGUUGUAGGAGAGGUCCAAGCUUUCGAUUUGCUUCAGGUUUGAAAAUGUUGUCGGGAUUGUGCCCGUCNNNNNNNNNNNNNNNNNNNNNNNNNNNNNNNNNNNNNNNNNNNNNNNNNNNNNNNNNNNNNNNNNNNNNNNNNNNNNNNNNNNNNNNNNNNNNNNNNNNNNNNNNNNNNNNNNNNNNNNNNNNNNNNNNNNNNNNNNNNNNNNNNNNNNNNNNNNNNNNNNNNNNNNNNNNNNNNNNNNNNNNNNNNGUAAGAUAUCCAAUUUGAGUAGGAAUCUCACCUGUCAGUUUGUUACAAGAAAGAUCAAUCCCAGACAUACUCGUCAAAAUUCUUCCUUGAUAAUAGUAGGACAUAUUCUUUGUUGUGAAUUGUACAGUUUCUUCCUUUCCCAUCGGAGGUCCACUUUGAGUAGGCAGACAUGGAGAUCCAUAGACAGAUGCUCGAUCACACCAAAUAGAAGUUGGAGGUCCUUCCUCAUGAUAAUCUUCACCGAGUGAAGUGUAAACCAAGCAAGCAGGAAUAUACCCAGAUAGAUUAUUAUGAGAAAGAUCAAUCAACCGCACUUCCUUCAACUCACAUAAUUGAACUGGUAUUUCGCCUUCAAUAUAAUUAUUACCUAGAAGAAGGGAGCUUAACUGAGGAAGUAUGUUAAUCCAAUUUGGAAUACUUCCGUGGAAGCGGUUAUAACUAAGAUCUAAUGUCACCAAAUAAGGGCUGUCAUGGAUUAUACUUUCCAACUGUCCUUCUAUCUUGUUUUUUGACAAAUGAACUUGUUCGAUAAAUGCUGGACUAAAACAAGAUGGUAAGGUUCCGAAAAUAGCAUUGUUUGAAAGGUCUAAAAUUGUCAGAUAAUCUAGCUGACAAAACUCGAUUGGAAUUGGUCCUUCAAGAUUGUUAUUGGACAUUCUAAUAUCUUCUAAAGCUGACAAAUUACCCAACCAUCUUGGAAUCCUACCAGAGAGAUGAUUAUCACUCAGAUAUAAUCCUGCUAACAAACGGCAAUUAGAUAAGCUAUCUGAGAUCUCUCCAGUGAAAUUAUUACCAUCCAACUGCAACCUCAUUAAAUUUGUCAAGUUGAAUUUUUUAGAGAAUAUAUGACCUUGUAAAUUGUUGUUUGACAAUGCAAGAAUUUCCAAUAAGAAGCAACCCGUGGCCAUGCGCUCAGGGAUUUCACCAGUCAACUGAUUGAUUUCACCAGUCAACUGAUUGUAAGUCAACUGAUUGUAGGAUAUGUCCAACCUUUCCAACAUUUUCAUAUCAGCAAAUGAAGAGGGAAUGCUACCGUUGAAAGCAUUUCUAGAUAAGUUUAAAUCCAUUAAGCCAGGCAGAUAUGUUCCGAUUUCUACUGGGAUAUGGCCUUGAAAGAAAUUUUUGGAGACAUCCAAUAUUGCCAAUUUCUGGUAGGAAUGAAUUGGCAUCCGAAAUGAUCCAAAAAGAGAGUUGUUGGCAAGAAGAAGCGUCUCUAAGUUCGUAUUGUUUUCUACCAACCAAUUUGGAAAAUUUCCACUCAAGUUAAGGUGUGAGAGAUCAGCAUUCUUCAAGUCAUGCUGAUGGUACAAGAAUUUGGGAAAUGUGCCACCAUCUAUGUAACCAGACAGUGAGAUACAUGCUGAUGGUACAUCAAGUUAAGGUGUGAGAGAUCAGCAUUCUUCAAGUCAUGCUGAUGGUACAAGAAUUUGGGAAAUGUGCCACCAUCUAUGUAACCAGACAGUGAGAUAGAAGUCAGUUGGAAUUUAGGGGUCACAGAAUUAUAAUGUGACUCAGUUUCUGCCCAUAUUUCACCAUCGAAAGUCUUGAGUUUUGAGUUGAAAAGUGGUUCAAGUGAUGAAAUAGGGAUUUGGAAGAAGUGAUUAUUUGAAAGUAUGAGCUCUUCGAUAGAUGUUAUUUGACGUUAACCUGCACCCAACCCAUGUCCAGAUGUUCCAAAUUCUUGAAUUUACGAAAAUCUACAAGCAGUAAACAAGAAAUGGUUAUAAUUUUGAUAUUGAUCACAUAAUGAAAGGGAAUAAGGAUAAUCCGGUGCUGUUCUUUUCUUUUUUUUGGGUUAAUUUACUUAUUUUUCUUUACUCUUCUAAGCGAUCGAAAUAUUCUUAACAUAACAGAACUAAAAUUUCAUUAACCUUAAUCAAGAAUCCUACAAUUUAGAGAAGGUAGAACUAUUGGACAGUGAAAAUAUAUAAAAUUUAAAAGAAAAAAAAUCUUAUUUUACAAGAGAAAUUUAACUUGAAAAGAAAGAAUCAUUAUCGAAUUAAUAUCACAAAAGCUUCAGAUACCCGUAUUUUACCUUGACCAUGCAGGGCACCCUUGAAUACACUAUCUUGCAUUGACAAAUACUUUAACGAAGUGAAUGAUGCGAUGCUUGACAGAAGCUGGCUUACGUGGAGAUCAGACUUGUCCAAUAUCAAUUCUUCCAAGUUGGUGAAAUUGUGCAAUUCUAUUUAGAAAGAAGUAGAAACAAUAAAUUUUAGCUAUAUAUAUUAAUUCAAUUAUUUUCGACAUAAAAGAUUUACUUACCUUGAUUAACUACUGUUCCUGUAAAAUUAGUAUACGAAAGGUAAAGUGUUUUGAGGGAUGGUAGUGAUCCUAUUGAUUGCAACACCUUACUUCCAUCUAUCAUUGCAAUUUCCGUUCGCCCUAAACGAAGGGUAUUCAACUUCCUCAAACCUCUGAAAUCUAUUUGGGAUACAAUUUCAGAUUAAAUUAUUUUGGGUAAGUGUCAUUGGGCAUUCCCUAAUCAAAUCUAUUAAACUGUCCUCCAAAUUAUUAAGAGUAAUGAUAUAGCCACAAAUUCUUGUACAAAUUUAUUUUGUACAAACUGAUAUGGCAUGAUAAGAUUGGUUGAAUGAAAAUAUAAAUUAAUAAAAACAAAUCAUGUGGGGCAAGUGAUAUUUAAUUCAACCAAUCUUAUCAUGCCACAUCAGUUUGUACAAAAUAAGUUUGUACAAGAGUUUGUGGUUGUAUCAUUACUCAAUUAUUAAUAUUUGAACAUUUUGUAUACCUUUAGGAACCACAAGUUUGUCGAUUGCAUUGUUGCUCAUGUCCAGCUCCUCCAAGUUACUCAAGGAAUUCAGUCCUGCAUUUAUGCCAACACUUAAAACAAGGUUAAUUAUUUAGUCUAAGGGUCUGUUUGGUAUAGCUUCUUCCUGUAGAUCCUACACUAGUAGAGCUUUUAACAAAAUGUUGUUGGUUGUUUAGUUGUCCAUAAUAUCUUUUAGCAAACAAUAACAUCAAGGUAUUUUUGACAAUUCAACCUUUCAAAAAAGCCCAAAAAAUCUCCUAAAAGCUUCCUACAGAGAACAGGAAACAUCAUUUUUAAUCUUCCACAAUCUCUUCCUUAGUUAAACCAAACAAGAAAAACAGUUUGAAACAGUUUUAACAUCUAAAAAAGCUCUUUAGUCCCAUAAAGAAACCAUCUGUGUAUAUCUUGGUCCUUGUAUAUUAUAUUUAGGCUUUGCAAAUAUCUUCUAACACAGUUUGAAAUGGAAGAGUUCUCCCUGGAUUACAUUGAUUCAUUGAAUAGGAAAGAUCUAAACGAUAACUUUUUAAACAAAAACUAUUAAUUAAUGGCUUUCUUUACCAGGCUGUGAUUCUUCAUUUUCAUGGCUUAAUAUAUAAAAUGUAACUAACAUAGGUACAUGGAAGGCUACAGGAACUAGAUGGUUGACGAUGCUAUUCACCCAGUCAUUCAAUAGAUACCUAAUCUUAAUUAAUGUUGAAUUUACUUGUGAAUGUUCUUUUGCAAGACUUGAUUGUGUUUUUACCAGGAUAGUGAAGGCUAAAAUAGGAGUAUAUGGGAUGUUGUUAGCUAUUGCUUAUGAAGGUCUGUAUUAUCAUGAGUUGUCUUUUCUAAUCAGUUCUUGAUUUGACACUAAAGAAGUCUUGCACUAGUUAAUUAGUAAAAUGCGAUGUAAUAAUAAUACAGUCUGUAUAUUUUCUCUACCUCAAUAAUAAUGUAGUCUUUUUAUUAUAGUUCUGCAGGUGUGGGCAAUGAAGGAAGGUUAGAAAAGUUGCCUAACGGUGGUUGAAAGGGGGAAAACAUAAGUUGAGUAGGCAUUAUUUGUGACAUAGUUGUCUUUUUAUUAUUAUUUUUUUUUUGGGUGGGAUUUGGCAGAAUAAGAUGUUGGCAGAAUAGAUUGCUAUUUUACCUUUAAAAAAGAUCAAAUAGAUGAUGCUGGAAAGUUCAAGUCAAAACAAGGAAAAGGGACAAAGAAAUUUCAAUGGAGGUCCAAAGCAAUAUAUAUUCUCUUGGCAGGAGAUCUAGUAAGUCACCUAUCUGGACCACAAGUCUCCUUCUUCCUUCAAAAUUGUAAGGUUCAGUUGGGGGCCCCUGGUUUCUGACUCGAGUUCGUUAAUUGGGUUCGAAGGUAUCUGGAUUAAUCCUGCUAACAUAUCUCCUGAUGGGACAUAUUUGUAAAACAGUUGUAUUCUCUUUCAUUUAGAAUGGCUGUAUCAUACUCUUAUUGGUGCCUAGUAUUUGUGAGUUCAUAAGAGUGAUUUUUACUAUUGUAUGUUGUUAGCAGAUUGUAAUAUAUACACUUUAAUUUUUCCUAGUUAAGUGUAUUAUGUGCUUUUCGUUUGCAAAAUCUGUACGAAACUUUUAUUGUGUUACUCUCAAUAUCAAUAAAGUCGGAUUGUGAGUUUGAAGUUCAGGUUCCGUAUUUGUUAUAUUGGAAUGCAUCCCAAGAAGUAAAUGGGAUUUGGUUCUACAAUGCUCGUGAAUGUGAAGAGGUAGCAAAUCUUUUUAGCAGGUAUUGUUGUUUUACAAUUAAACUACUGUAGUAGUUUAAGUGUACAUUAUUAUGUUUUACAUGUUAAUAAUGUUGAAAAGUCAUGCAUGUGGCAAUUUUUCAAAGAGCUACCAAACAUUUGAAGAAAAAAUGGAAAGUUGGCAAAUUUGUCAAAUUUGCCAAAUGAUCACCAUUGACAUUUUUGCAUGGGUUAGGUGGAAUAGUGCUUGGGUUAGGUGAAAUAGUACUUGGGUUAGGUGGAAUAGUACUAGCUUCAAGUCUAUAAAUAGAGAGCACUUCUUCCUUUCUAAAUCAUCCCAAAAUUGUUAAGCUUAUAAGUUUCUAAGCUUUUGAGAGAAGUGAGAGAAGUGUGUCUGGGGAAUUUAUCUUUCCUGCAGAGUGUGAAAGUACUGGGUAUAUUUGGGUUUCUAGGAAGUGAGAUUCGUUACUCAAAUAUUGUAUUCUAUUAAUUGUUAAAUAAACAAUUAUUCUUUCUUGCCUCCGUGGAUGUAGGUUUAAUUACCGAACCACGUAAAUUCUUGUGUCUUAUAUUUUUCAGUAAUUAUUUGGUGCGCUUCUGCUGUACCGUACAUCCGCCUUGGCCGUACAGCAGGAUCCAUUCAAGCAUAUUAAUUGUAAAAAAUCAAGUGACGUACGUAGAUGAAUGAUAAAUAAUAGUGAAAAUAGAACAAAAACUACACAUAAUUCAUUUAUGUAUACAUUCCUAAUUAAUGUAAUAAAAGGUAUUCAGGUCUCUGAAAUUAUUCAAUUGAAUUUGAGAGAUAUAUAAAACGGUGCAACACACGUAUAUUAUAAUACAUUCACUAACUUUAGGGAUCCUAAUUAUUGUACUAAUAUUCAGCUGUAAUUAUCACAUUAUAUUAGUCAUUGAUGUUUACUAAUUCUUUCUUGAAUAAUAAUCUCAUCAUUUCAUGAUAAACAUUAAUAAUUAAGUUAAUGUUGCAGUUACCGAUGAGUUAUCACAUUAGUUAUGAUUGAAACAUUAAGAUAAUAAUUGGGAUUUCUAACAUUAUUCUAGUACAUUAAUAUUGACAAUUUAAAAAAUAAAAGGGGUUAAUAGUGUAUGGGUAAAAUAUGAUUAUAAUAAAUCUAAUUUUGGGGUCUAAAUGACAAAAAGGAAAACAAAAAAAAAGUAGAGAAAUUGAAAGAAAUAAAUGCUAUUUCCCAAAUGUUUGAAAGAAGUUAAAGCAAGAUCAGUUUCGAGUCUCAGUCCGAAACUGUUCACCUCACCUUGUUUGGCUGUUCAACUCUUUCACUCUCUUUGGACUAUCUCAUCAAACACUUUCUUUUCUCUCUUAUGCUAUCCAUUUUUUUCAUUUGAUAUUUGGUGUUUUGGAGAUUGUAUUACAUAUGAAGUUGGUGAAAUUAUUAUUUUUUCAAUUUUCAGGAACACACGGCCUCGAUUUCAGUUUGUUGUGAUGAAUCGACGUAAUAUAGGUUGGUUUAUCGUUGCUUUUAUUUCAGUUUUGAUUAUUUGUACGUGAACUAGUUUUAAUUUCAGUGAUGAAUCAUUUUAUCACAGUACUAGCUAAUAAUUGAGGUUUUAGAACGAAGAAUAUAAUGUACCUAACCGAAAAUAUUUAUAUGCCAAUAUUACAGAGGCUAAAGUAUUUGCAAUGUUGUUGUCUAGCGUUAAAUAUUGGUCGUUUUAUGACCAUCAGGAGAGGGGGUUGGUACAAUUAUUUAGAUACCGUGUGUCUAUCUUGUUUACAACUUGUGUUAUAUUUCAUGUCUUGUUGUGCUUAUCAGUUGUUGCUAAGUUUUAGUUAUAUCUCCUAACCUUCAUGUCUUUUUGCAUAUGUUCUUGCAUUGAUAAGCUUCAAUAUCUUGGAUAUGUGCAGAUAAUUUAGUGGAAAAUCUUUUGGGAGAUUUUGAGUUUGAAGUUCAGGUUCCGUAUUUGUUAUAUUGGAAUGCAUCCCAAGAAGUAAAUGGGAUUUGGUUCUACAAUGCUCGUGAAUGUGAAGAGGUAGCAAAUCUUUUUAGCAGGUAUUGUUGUUUUACAAUUAAACUACUGUAGUAGUUUAAGUGUACAUUAUUAUGUUUUACAUGUUAAUAAUGUUGAAAAGUCAUGCAUGUGGCAAUUUUUCAAAGAGCUACCAAACAUUUGAAGAAAAAAUGGAAAGUUGGCAAAUUUGUCAAAUUUGCCAAAUGAUCACCAUUGACAUUUUUGCAUGGGUUAGGUGGAAUAGUGCUUGGGUUAGGUGAAAUAGUACUUGGGUUAGGUGGAAUAGUACUAGCUUCAAGUCUAUAAAUAGAGAGCACUUCUUCCUUUCUAAAUCAUCCCAAAAUUGUUAAGCUUAUAAGUUUCUAAGCUUUUGAGAGAAGUGAGAGAAGUGUGUCUGGGGAAUUUAUCUUUCCUGCAGAGUGUGAAAGUACUGGGUAUAUUUGGGUUUCUAGGAAGUGAGAUUCGUUACUCAAAUAUUGUAUUCUAUUAAUUGUUAAAUAAACAAUUAUUCUUUCUUGCCUCCGUGGAUGUAGGUUUAAUUACCGAACCACGUAAAUUCUUGUGUCUUAUAUUUUUCAGUAUACGGUACUGUUCACAUACGGUACUGUUCACGAAUACGGUGGAGACGGCCAUUUGUACUUGGGAGACAGUCUAUUGUAAGUAGUGUGUAUUUUUGCAUGUCUAGGAAAGUUCUGUCAAAAAAGGCGAUAAGAGUCUAAGGAUUUUGAUUUUUAAUUGGGACCGAGUUCCUGUCCAGUUUCCUGGAAACUUUCUUAGUGCAUUUAUUCACGCGAAAUUAACAUCAUAGAGGCUGUUUUUCAAGUGGAAAUAGUUCGUUGAGAAAAAUGGUAGAAGGUGAAACUUCCAGAAUUGGGGAGAGAUCUACCGAGACUAUUUCAGGAGACAAUUCAUGUGGGAGGCGAGAUUUGUCAAAUCGCUAUUCAGCACCUGUUAUAGGAGGCCAGAAGAUCGAUGUUGAAAAGUUUGAUGGGAAAAUCAACUUUGGCAUGUGGAGGCGCGAAGUUAUGGAUGCCCUUAUUCAAAUCGAUCUUGAUGUUGUUCUGAAAAAUAAAAGACACUUGUAUGAUGAAGAAAUUUGGGAUCGUAUGAACGAGAAAGCCUGUGGUCAGAUCAGAUCUUGUUUGACUAAGGAGUUGAAAUACUUGGUGAAAGAUGAGGAGUGUGCAGUGACUUUGUGGCGUACAUUGGAAGAGAAGUACCUAGUGAAAAGUCCUGAAAAUCGUCUUCAUGCAAUGAGCCAAGUAUAUGGCUUUCGAAUGAAGUCUAGGGUGUCAAUGCACGAUCAUGUUUCAAGAUUUGAAAAGUUACUUGCUGAUUUGAAGAAUCUUGAUGAAGAUAUUAAAGAUGAAGUCAAGGCUAUGAUUCUGUUACACUUACUACCAGAGGAAUAUAGCCAUUUUGUGACUACUUUGAUAUAUGGGAAAAGUGUGAUCGUCUUUAAAGAUGUUUGCACAGCAUUGACUAGCUUGGAGAUUCGGAAUAAUGAUAAAAAUUCUGAACGAGCAUCGUCUGAAGCUUUGGUGAGCAGAGAUUGGGCGAUGGAGAAACAUAAAAAGCGUGGUGGAAAGAAUUCUCGAUCCAAAUCGAGAAGCAGAAAUAGCUCGAGAUGAGUGUGCCUUUUGUCAUGAAAAAGGCCAUUGGAAGAAAGAUUGUCCAAAGGCUCAAAAGAGAGAUGAGAAGAAACCAGCANNNNNNNNNNNNNNNNNNNNNNNNNNNNNNNNNNNNNNNNNNNNNNNNNNNNNNNNNNNNNNNNNNNNNNNNNNNNNNNNNNNNNNNNNNNNNNNNNNNNNNNNNNNNNNNNNNNNNNNNNNNNNNNNNNNNNNNNNNNNNNNNNNNNNNNNNNNNNNNNNNNNNNNNNNNNNNNNNNNNNNNNNNNNNNNNNNNNNNNNNNNNNNNNNNNNNNNNNNNNNNNNNNNNNNNNNNNNNNNNNNNNNNNNNNNNNNNNNNNNNNNNNNNNNNNNNNNNNNNNNNNNNNNNNNNNNNNNNNNNNNNNNNNNNNNNNNNNNNNNNNNNNNNNNNNNNNNNNNNNNNNNNNNNNNNNNNNNNNNNNNNNNNNNNNNNNNNNNNNNNNNNNNNNNNNNNNNNNNNNNNNNNNNNNNNNNNNNNNNNNNNNNNNNNNNNNNNNNNNNNNNNNNNNNNNNNNNNNNNNNNNNNNNNNNNNNNNNNNNNNNNNNNNNNNNNNNNNNNNNNNNNNNNNNNNNNNNNNNNNNNNNNNNNNNNNNNNNNNNNNNNNNNNNNNNNNNNNNNNNNNNNNNNNNNNNNNNNNNNNNNNNNNNNNNNNNNNNNNNNNNNNNNNNNNNNNNNNNNNNNNNNNNNNNNNNNNNNNNNNNNNNNNNNNNNNNNNNNNNNNNNNNNNNNNNNNNNNNNNNNNNNNNNNNNNNNNNNNNNNNNNNNNNNNNNNNNNNNNNNNNNNNNNNNNNNNNNNNNNNNNNNNNNNNNNNNNNNNNNNNNNNNNNNNNNNNNNNNNNNNNNNNNNNNNNNNNNNNNNNNNNNNNNNNNNNNNNNNNNNNNNNNNNNNNNNNNNNNNNNNNNNNNNNNNNNNNNNNNNNNNNNNNNNNNNNNNNNNNNNNNNNNNNNNNNNNNNNNNNNNNNNNNNNNNNNNNNNNNNNNNNNNNNNNNNNNNNNNNNNNNNNNNNNNNNNNNNNNNNNNNNNNNNNNNNNNNNNNNNNNNNNNNNNNNNNNNNNNNNNNNNNNNNNNNNNNNNNNNNNNNNNNNNNNNNNNNNNNNNNNNNNNNNNNNNNNNNNNNNNNNNNNNNNNNNNNNNNNNNNNNNNNNNNNNNNNNNNNNNNNNNNNNNNNNNNNNNNNNNNNNNNNNNNNNNNNNNNNNNNNNNNNNNNNNNNNNNNNNNNNNNNNNNNNNNNNNNNNNNNNNNNNNNNNNNNNNNNNNNNNNNNNNNNNNNNNNNNNNNNNNNNNNNNNNNNNNNNNNNNNNNNNNNNNNNNNNNNNNNNNNNNNNNNNNNNNNNNNNNNNNNNNNNNNNNNNNNNNNNNNNNNNNNNNNNNNNNNNNNNNNNNNNNNNNNNNNNNNNNNNNNNNNNNNNNNNNNNNNNNNNNNNNNNNNNNNNNNNNNNNNNNNNNNNNNNNNNNNNNNNNNNNNNNNNNNNNNNNNNNNNNNNNNNNNNNNNNNNNNNNNNNNNNNNNNNNNNNNNNNNNNNNNNNNNNNNNNNNNGUUUCUGGGAAGUGAGAUUCGUUACUCAAAUAUUGUAUUCUAUUAAUUGUUAAAUAAACAAUUAUUCUUUCUUGCCUCCAUGGAUGUAGGUUUAAUUACCGAACCACGUAAAUUCUUGUGUCCUUUAUUUUUCAGUAAGUUUUUGGUGCGCUUGAUUCCGCAUUUCGCGCGCACAACAAGUGGUAUCAGAGCCGACGGUUCGUACUUGGGGGGAUACGGUACUGUUCACGUAUACGGUACUAUUCCCGUAUACAGUACUGUUCACAUACGGUACUGUUCACGAAUACGAUGGAGACGGCCAUUUGUACUUGGGAGACAGUCUAUUGUAAGUAGUGUGUAUUUUUGCAUGUCUAGGAAAGUUCUGUCAACAAAGGCGAUAAGAGUCUAAGGAUUCUGGUUUUUAAUUGGGACCGAGUUCCCGUCCAGUUUCCUGGGAACUUUCCUGGUGCAUUAAUCACGCGAAAUUAACAUCAUAGAGGCUGUUUUUCAAGUGGAAAUAGUUCGUUGAGAAAAAUGGUAGAAGGUGAAACUUCCAGAAUUGGGGAGAGAUCUACCGAGACUAUUUCAGGAGACAAUUCAUGUGGGAGGCGAGAUUUGUCAAAUCGCUAUUCAGCACCUGUUGUGGGAGGCGAGAUUUGUCAAAUCGCUAUUCAGCACCUGUUGUGGGAGGCGAGAUUUGUCAAAUCGCUAUUCAGCACCUGUUGUGGGAGGCGAGAUUUGUCAAAUCGCUAUUCAGCACCUGUUGUGGGAGGCGAGAUUUGUCAAAUCGCUAUUCAGCACCUGUUGUGGGAGGCGAGAUUUGUCAAAUCGCUAUUCAGCACCUGUUAUAGGAGGCCAGAAGAUCGAUGUUGAAAAGUUUGAUGGGAAAAUCAACUUCGGCAUGUGGAGGCGCGAAGUUAUGGAUGCCCUUAUUCAAAUCGAUCUUGAUGUUGUUCUGAAAAAUAAAAGACACUUGUAUGAUGAAGAAAUUUGGGAUCGUAUGAACGAGAAAGCCUGUGGUCAGAUCAGAUCUUGUUUGACUAAGGAGUUGAAAUACUUGGUGAAAGAUGAGGAGUGUGCAGUGACUUUGUGGCGUACAUUGGAAGAGAAGUACCUAGUGAAAAGUCCUGAAAAUCGUCUUCAUGCAAUGAGCCAAGUAUAUGGCUUUCGAAUGAAGUCUAGGGUGUCAAUGCACGAUCAUGUUUCAAGAUUUGAAAAGUUACUUGCUGAUUUGAAGAAUCUUGAUGAAGAUAUUAAAGAUGAAGUCAAGGCUAUGAUUCUGUUACACUUACUACCAGAGGAAUAUAGCCAUUUUGUGACUACUUUGAUAUAUGGGAAAAGUGUGAUCGUCUUUAAAGAUGUUUGCACAGCAUUGACUAGCUUGGAGAUUCGGAAUAAUGAUAAAAAUUCUGAACGAGCAUCGUCUGAAGCUUUGGUGAGCAGAGAUUGGGCGAUGGAGAAACAUAAAAAGCGUGGUGGAAAGAAUUCUCGAUCCAAAUCGAGAAGCAGAAAUAGCUCGAGAUGAGUGUGCCUUUUGUCAUGAAAAGAGCCAUUGGAGAAAAGAUUGUCCAAAGGCUCAAAAGAGAGAUGAGAAGAAACCAGCAGCAGCAAACAUGGCACGGAAAGAUGAGGGCUCUGAUUAUUCACUAAGUAUUACUCCUGCAGCAUAUGUGGCUAGUUCGAGUGAGUGGAUACUUGAUACUGGAGCAACCUAUCAUUUGUGUCCUAUUAAGGAAUGGUUUACGAAUUUUUGUAAUCUGGAAUCCGAUGCAGUGGUGAUGGGGAAUAAUCAACCUUGUCGCACAAUGGGGAUAGGAACAAUUCGGCUAAAAAUGUUUGAUGGAAUAGUUAGAGAACUCAAAGAGGUUAGAUUUGUUCCAGAGAUAAAGAAAAAUCUAAUUUCUGUGGGUGCUUUGGAAGCUAAAGGUUACAAAGUUACCAUUGAAGAUGGCACAAUGAAGUUUACACAUGGGGCUAUGGUGAUUCUGCAAGGGGUUCGGCGUCACAAUCUGUACUAUUUGAAGGGAGGUACAACUGAUGAAGCAAAUGUUGUUGAGGCGCACAGUGACACCACCAAGCUAUGGCAUGUACGACUGGGACAUGCAGGAGAGAAGUCUUUGCAAACUCUGAUGAGGCAUGGACUCUUAAAAGGUACCAAAACCUGUAAAUUAAAUUUCUGUGAGCAUUGUGUAGUAGGCAAGAAAACAAGGGUCAAGUUUGGUACAGCUAAUCACGACACUCGUAAGAUCCUUGAAUAUGUUCAUAGUGAUGUAUGGGGACCAACCAAAACUGCAUCAAUUGGUGGAAGCCAUUAUUUUGUUAUAUUUGUUGAUGAUUUCUCUAGACGUGUAUGGAUGUACACCAUGCGAGCAAAGGAUGAGGUUCUAGAGAUUUUCGUAAAGUGGAAGAAAUUGGUGGAGACUCAAACUGGCAGAAAGAUCAAAGUAUUACGAUCUGAUAAUGGGGGUGAAUAUACUUCUGAUCCAUUCUUGCAAGUAUGCUAGAACGAGGGUAUUAAAAGACAUUUCACGGUGAGACAUACUCCGCAACAGAACGGUGUGGCUGAGCGUAUGAAUCGUACUUUACUGGAGAAGGUACGAUGUAUGUUAUCUAAUGUUGGUUUAGAUAAAAAGUUUUGGGCUGAAAAUGUGAGCUACGCAAGUCACUUGGUAAAUCGGUUGCCUUCUGCUGCAAUUGGAGAUAAAACUCCUAUGGAACUGUGGUCUGAAAACCAUGCACAAGACUAUGAUUCCCUUCGUGUAUUCGGGUGUCCAGCUUAUUAUCAUGUCAAAUAUGGUAAACUGGAUCCUCGUGCUAGAAAAUUCAUUUUUGUGGGAUUCAAAGGUGGAGUAAAGGGCUUCAAGCUUUAGGAUCUUGAAGACAAAAAGUUUAUGUGUAGCAGAGAUGUCACAUUUGAUGAAGCUUCAAUGAUAAAAACUUCAAGUUCUCAGCAGGUGGAGAACAAGACCACAGAGGUAUUGCAGCGGGUGGAGUUUGAUGCAACUCCAUAUGUACCGGUUAGUUCUACAUCAAAUAAUAGUUCAACUAUGGAGGUGACACCUAGAGUUGAAGAAGAGGUUGUUUCUUCUGAUGUCCCACAAAAUGAAGAAACAAUUGAUGAUGUAAAUGAUGAUGAUUUUAUAGCAACAAGGAGGCCAAGAAGAGAGAUAAAGAAACCCGGAUGGCUUACUAAAGAUAUGGUGGUAGCCUAUGCACUUCCAGUUAUUGAUGAUGACAUCCUCAAUACUUUCGGUGAAGCAUUACGCAGCAGUGAAAGUGAUCAAUGGAAGCUAGCCAUGGAGGAAGAGAUGAAAUCUCUCCAUCAAAACCAGACUUGGGAACUUGUAAAGUUACCAAAGGGGAAAAUGGCUAUUGGCAAUAAAUGGGUCUACACCAAAAAGCAAGGAUCUCCGAAUCAAAUAACUCCUCGAUACAAGGCAAGGCUCGUGGCAAAAGAUUUUGCUCAAAAAGAAGGUAUUGACUACAAUGAAGUUUUCUCUCUAGUUGAAAAACAUACUUCCAUUCGUAUCCUACUUGCCUUAGUUAUAGAGUAUGAGUUAGAGUUGACUCAGUUAGAUGUUAAGACGGCAUUCUUACAUGGAGAUUUGGAGGAGGAAAUCUAUAUGAUUCAGUCUUGUGGUUUCAGAGUUGCUGGAAAGGAAAAUCGUGUGUGCAGAUUGAGUAAAUCUUUAUACGGAUUGAAACUAAUUCUUCGAAUGCGUUGAGUUUGGAGAAUUUUGAACUACGGUUGGCUUGAUCCCAAAUUUUGGGUACGUAGGCAGUCGAAACGACAUAGCCAUUCUGGAUCCUUAUUGAAGGAUCACUUUGGGGAUGAGGGUUCGUUGGUAGUCGACUCAGAUUUAGACAAAUUUUCGCCGAUGUGGAAAAUUGUUGAAAAGUCAUGCAUGUGGCAAUUUUUCAAAGAGCUACCAAACAUUUGAAGAAAAAAUGGAAAGUUGGCAAAUUUGUCAAAUUUGCCAAAUGGUCACCAUUGACAUAUUUGCAUGGGUUAGGUGGAAUAGUGCUUGGGUUAGGUGAAAUAGUACUUGGGUUAGGUGGAAUAGUACUAGCUUCAAGUCUAUAAAUAGAGAGCACUUCUUCCUUUCUAAAUCAUCCCAAAAUUGUUAAGCUUAUAAGUUUCUAAGCUUUUGAGAGAAGUGAGAGAAGUGUGUCUGGGGAAUUUAUCUUUCCUGCAGAGUGUGAAAGUACUGGGUAUAUUUGGGUUUCUGGGAAGUGAGAUUCGUUAAUCAAAUAUUGUAUUCUAUUAAUUGUUAAAUAAACAAUUAUUCUUUCUUGCCUCCGUGGAUGUAGGUUUAAUUACCGAACCACGUAAAUUCUUGUGUCUUGUAUUUUUCAGUAAUUAUUUGGUGCGCUUGAUUCCGCAUUCCGCGCACAACAAAUAAUUGACAGAUAGAGAAUAGUUUAGAAUCUUAACCAAACUUGGAAAUGUGUUUCAAAUAAUAGAGUAUGGCUAUUGCAUGUUGCUUCUGCCGAGGCCUGAUGAACAUGGUUUUAGUUAUUGUUUUCGUGAAUUGUAUAUUGGAAUUAUUAUUCUUGGGAUCUGGCUUGUACAGAUUCCUUUUUUGCAUUGUCUGGCAUCUUUGAAGUUUGGUUAAUAAAACUUGUUUGAUGCUAUUAUAUUCUCCUCAUUGCAUGCUUUUUAUUUCGAGAUGUGGAAUGCCAAGUGCAAAGGAGUUAUUUUUGUAUAGAAACAGACUAUUUUAUACCAGAAUCGUUCUGUGCCCCUUAAGAUUGGAAAAUGAACGGGUUGCCUUUCCUUUACAUUUAGGAGAUAGGAGAACAAAACAACCUGGGGAGUUGGUGACGAAGCCUUCAAUUUUUUUUCAUCAUGCAAGGGUGGACCAAAGAUUCUAUAGAUGAUAUCUGGAGUCCUCAGUGUUCUCAUAUUAGCAGGGAGUCCUCAGUGUUCUCAUAUUAGGUUUUUAUGGUUUCAUUGUUCUUCAGAUUCGUCUGAAAAUGUGCAUCUCACAAAGACAUGAUUGUUUUAUUUGUUGACUUGCAUGUGGUAAAAGUCAAUUUUCUUGCCGUAAAAAAUGGAACGCAAGAAGAUUCUUUGAGGUUCUAUAUUUGUAAAUUUUUCAAUUUGGUAUGGACUAUAGGUUGUACAGUCAAUGAGAAUUUAAAUUGGUUUUUUAGGAGUGGGGGCUGAGGUGGUGUGGGAAGAAAUCUUUAUAUUGUAUUAGUCUAUGGGAGCAACAAGUUCAGAAGUAUGGUUAGAAUGUGGAAUUUACUUAUAGCAGCAAGAAUAUGCUCACAGCUGUCAAAACUAAAUAACAACCUCUCUCUAUAACAAAAAAUUAUUCUCUAAAUAGCUAAGGCCGUUAAAAACCGAGUCCUCUGCUCAUAUAUGCUCAAUGUGUGUAAUCCUUGAACCAUUUGGGAGGCUUCCUUACGCUACUUGGCUUGAUGUUAGCUUGGGGUCGGUUUUGGAUAGCCUCACUUGAGUUUGCCUGGGCCUUUUCCUCGCUAUUGAUAGAGCUAGCUGAGUUGGGCUUGUCUAACUGUAAUAUUGAGGUUGUAACAGAAUGGCGCCCAUGUGAUAAAUAAGGAGUUUUAAGAAGCAUGCCAUUUGCACUAAUUAAUACUGUCAGACAUGUGAUUCCAUGAACAUGAUGAUGAUCAUCAGUUACAUUUAGUUAGUGAUGGUGGUUUUCACGUGUUUUAACAAACAUGGUAGUAGCAAUUUAUGAAUAUUCAUUACAAAGUGGCUUGUGUUUGGAAAGCAAACAAUAUGACUAUUUUGAGUGGCUUGCGUGUCUACAUAAGUUUUUGCUCUGGCUGCUAAGUUAUUGAAGUUUGACCACACAAUUCUUAUCCGUUUUGUCAUUUUUGUUUGGAGGGAUUUGAUGAUUUUCAGUGGGACAGUAAGGUAUAGAGAGUAGUUAUCCAAGAUAUUUACGUCCUGUAGAUGAUUGUAAAUUAGUCUUUCAAUACAUUCACAUCGCCUUUGAUUUGUUCUUGUUGCAUGCAAAAGCUGUUUGAAAGGCUUUUAAUUGAGUGUCUUUAUAAUUUUUUUGACCACUAUCUAUCUGUUUCAAAUUUGAUACAAAGUUGGCUUCUCACUAUUGAUGUUUCUUGUGUUAGUAAAGUGAUUGCAUUUGCACUUUCCUAGUUGCACCAACAUUUUGCGAUUUGGGAAUUUAAAUGAUGAAUUCUUAAUAAUUCACUUAGUGUUAAGCUUUUCAAUUGUUUUACGGCUAGAAAAUAUUGAGAUUGAGAAGAAAAAUAUCUCCUGAUAUGGCUGUUGUACAUUUUUUUUUUUUUAAACUUUCAUUCUUUUUUUAACUAUUUUAUAAUUUGCUAAAGAGUUGUUUGAGAAUCUCUACAGAACUGGAUGGUUGACCAUGCUAUUCACCCAGUCAUUGAUUGAAGGUGCAGUAGAUACUUAAUCUUAAUUAAUGUUGAAUUUACUUGUGAAUGUUCUUUUGCAAGACUUAAUUCUGUUUUUACCAGGAUAUUGAAGGCUAAAAUAGGAGUAUAUGGGGGGUUGUCCCAACGCAGCAUGUUAAACCCCAACAUCCUUCUACCUGAUUCUUGGACAAAGUGUAAAGAAAAUUUCAGAGCUGUUAAUGGCAAAUUGUUCACCACCACUUUGAUUACCAAAAAACCCAUUGGUAUCCAACUUUUCCCAAAUUGUGUCAUUUGGACCAAGGUUAUCGAUUCAACCCUUCCUAAUAAGGAUAUCUUGUUAGGAUUUGACAUACUUCACCAAAUCAAACACCUCUAAAUCAUUCCCACUGGAAUCCGAGUCAAGUCCAUAUUCAAACCAUUCACAGACAUUCUGAAACUCUACAAUUUGUCUGAAACUCCCCAGUCCUUCCAGGAUAUUUCAACCAAGCUUUGGAGUUUCUAUCCAUGGGAAGAAUUCCUUCCUCUCAGUCAACAUCUCCAACAGUUUCCACAACCAACCAUGUAUGAAUCAGGAUCAUCAUCCCAACCCUCAAAAGUUGACAAAGCCACUCAGAUACCAAGCCCUAGGUCCCAGUCAUCAUCUCCUAAGCCAGGUUACAGACGAGAUUGCCCUUAUCUACCUUGCCGUGGCCCCCACUGUAAGCAUCCAAAGUUCUCCAAAACCUUUUUCCCAAAAUACAACCGUGACACUGACCCAGAUGAAAUAGACAACUCAUCCGAAGACGACUACAUGAAUCUCCGCUCUCCAUAAAGUAGUUUGUCUUGUUGUAAUAAUUAUGUUUUACUUUAUGGUUUUGUCUUGUAUAAUUAUUAAAGCUUGCUUUUACUUUAAGCACACUUUGUCCUUUGUAAUAAUUAAAGCUGUCCUAAUGUGUCUUUUACCUUUGCUUUUGUAAAAGAUAGGGGUCCUAUCCUAUCUUCCCCGAAGAAUUCUCCUAUAUAAAGAAUUCUCCUCUCCCUUGUAAGAUAUAGAAGUUUUUCAAGAAAUAAACUCUCGUGUGUUUUCAUAAGCUGUGACUUUCUAAACUCUCUCUUCUCUCUCUGCAAAUGAAGUUCUAGAGAAAGAAAAGGAAUAAAGAAUUAAAUUUGUUCAUUUUGAAAACUUAAGGAAGUAUGCUCUGCACUUGCCUUCCAGUAAGGAUCCUGUGCAUCAGAAAACUUAUGAUGAUUUCUUAAAAGGUUUGGUACCCUGUUUUAAAGACUAAAGAAAGUCUAGUUUUGACUAAAAAAAAGUCUUCGAGCAUGUGAUGUAGUUCAAAAGGCACUGAUAUAGUGUUUGUGGACAGCAUCACAUUCUUAGUUAUGGUAGUGCUUGAACCAUAAAUAUGCCCAAGUUACUCUUUCCUUGCACUUGAAAGAGUGUUUUGUUUUGGGGAUUUGUGUUUGGUUGCUCGUAGUCCUGUUUGAAUAUCCAAGUAAAUAGACAAUAGAUACCAUGCAAGCUCGCCUUACUCGUAGGCACAGUGCAUGCUGAACAAGAGGCAAUUUCUAUGGAUCCUAAAGAGGUAAUAAAUUCAGAAGUACACACACUAACAAACACCACCUCCAAAUUGCAAAAUAUUUUAACCCUUCACCUUCUCACUUCCUAUAGAAUAACACCAUACCAGGCCCUUUCCCUUCUUUUUCCUCUGCACUUAACGGGAGAAUAACUUUCUCUACUCUAGCGAAAUCUCGAAGAGCAGCACAAUGAUGAGCAAUUUCGAAUAAGAGGAGUUAGAGAAGAGAGAGAAAAAAUUCUUUGCAUUGCACUCGAGGAUUCAGCUUUGAUUUCUGUUUAUUUUCGUGUUUAGCUAAGGUGAAAUCACCUUCCAUAAGGGUCCACUCAUCAUUUUCCCUAACCUCUUAUAUCAUCUAAUUAUUACUUAAAUUGGUCAUCAAGUUCCUUUUAUGUUAAACUGCAGUGAGUUUGAGGAACUGGAAGCUGUUACUCCUGCUCUUACUUCAGUGCUUCAACCAGUGCUUCCCCAGUGCUUCAACCUUUUCCACCGCCAACCCCUCCACCAUCUCUUACUGCUGCUCUUACUUCAAACAGCAGACCAUUUAUCAGCAAGGAGAAAGUUCGAGAGACACUUCUGGUGCUUGUUCAGGUUAGGAUUUCUGGUUAUGCAAAUGCUCGAAGCUAUAAUUGCGUCUGACAUGUUCAUGUUUACUGUUGUUAAGAUUAGGGGAACUUUAUCAUGCAGCUGGUAUAAUCUUCUUAAUUGCAUAUUGACAGCAGACUUAAAGCUAGCAUAUUUGUAUUGUCAGAAAUACUCUUUGGAUUUCUUAUGUACAAAAAUGCAUUCAUGGCACGCAUUUAAUCAACUAUUUUAAGUGACUGAAUUACUGUUUACUUUUUGAUGAUAUCUAAAUUGACAUGUAAAUAAAUUUAUGUUCAUCAGUGGAUUGAACUAUUUUUCACUUAUCCCAGUCUUCAAAAUCAUUAACCCCGCACCACUUUGCCAUGCUUAGAGUGCAAACACUAAUGCGAAACACUUAUUUUUUGUGAUGCAUUUUCAAUUAUUAUUUUUUUCCUUGUAUAUCUGACCAGUUUUUAUAUGUAAUAGGACAAUCAAUUCUUAGACAUGGUCUAUCGAGCAUUGCUGAAUGACCAGCUGAAAGUGAUACCAAUAUGUAGCUGCUAGAUUUUUUCUACCAUGUAGCUUUCUGCAAGUGUAAUAAAACCCAGUUUGUAUAGUGUUUCAACUCAAGUCAGUAUUUUUUAUGGAAAAAUUAUUGGUAUAUAAUUAUUCUUGUUUCUUUUUGUUAGAGAUGAUGAAAAACACUUGCAGGAUUUAAAUGUCAUUUUUGGGUUUGAGCUUAUUAUAAGUUACAGGCUUCGAAAGUGUGUUCAUUUAUAUCCACAAUUUAGUUAUGCUGGUUAACCAAAGUGAGCUGGGAUAGUUUUUGGAUUCAUGACAUGAAUAAAAUAGGAUUAUUUUGGGCACGGCUUGGUGCGUUAGGUGUGUUUAUUGUGAGGAAGAGGGCAAAAAGGAAAAAACAAUUGUGGGUUGUGAAAUUUCUUAAAUGAACCUUCUCUGAUUGUUCUUGUAUAGAGCUGGGUUACCAUCAGAAAUGAAGGAGGAAAUGAAUCGAUUACUGUAACUCCCAAGGCGAUAAUUGCUACCUAAAUCCCCACUAGGAUAUAACAAGAGUUGCAAAUCUGAUAGUUAUUCCAAGUCCUAGUUAUCCUCCAUAAGUUGAGCUACCCAUUACUCUCACCCUGGACUAUAAUGUUUUUUAUUUUAAGUUUGUCCCAGUUUACUUAAAGUGAAGUCUCGUCGCCUGCAUUUUACUUUCAUCUGGACCUGAAAUCUCAACCGUCAAGUUUAAUAGAGAAUUUACACACACUCCAGAGCCCAGAGGGCGUAAGUUAAUCUUCAUUCAGAUCGUGUAAAAGAGAGACCUUUUGCCUGUUAUGAUGUGUAGAAGUAGAGCCCCAAAUCUGUUAGCUUUGGCCGCCAUCUAAAGAAAUUCCUACUGCGAAUGGUUAAAAAUUUCAUUUACUGUAUGUAUACAACCUAAUAGUAGCAAUGAAAUUACUAAGUUGUUCUUGGACAAUUUGCAUCAAAUACUUUUAUUGAGUUGCUAUUCCAUGCAUGCAAAAGAAAAUUCUUUAAAAAUUACAUAUAAGUUGUAAUGUAAGGAAAUUACAUCCAUCCACGAUAAAAUCUUCUAGGAACAAGAUUGUCUGCUACAAAAUAAUAACAAGAGGUCAUACACACUUCAACAAGGUAAAACCAUCUUCGCCGCCAGUAAGGGUUUAUGUACAAAACUCCAAUAAUUCCUAUUAUCACAAUUCCAUAAGAUACUGUAAAAGUGAUCAAGAAACUGUCCGUGUCAAUUAAACUAUCACCUUGAUUUUCGGUGGAAGCUUCUGGUGUCACUGUUGUCAAUCCAUUAUGAUUGCAACUUUUGGACAGUGGCUUUCCACAAAGAAAAGGAUUCCCCUCAUAGCUAUCUUCCUCGAAAGUUGAAAAUUGUGCUCUAUCUGGAAUUUUGCCUGAUAAGUUAUUGUAUGCUACUUUGAAAACCUCCAAUGUAUUUAGCACAAUGAGUUGAGGAGGGAUUUUCCCAUGCAGUAGGUUGUAGGAGAGGUCCAAGCUUUCAAUUUGCUUCAGGUUUGAAAAUGUUGUCGGGAUUGUGCCCGUCAAAUUGUUAUGAGAUAGAUUUAGCGCAUGAAUCCCAGAAAGAUAUCCAAUUUGAGUAGGAAUCUCACCUGUCAGUUUGUUACAAGAAAGAUCAAUCCCAGACAUACUCGUCAAAAUUCUUCCUUGAUAAUAGUAGGACAUAUUCUUUGUUGUGAACUGUACAGUUUCUUCCUUUCCCAUCGGAGGUGCACUUCGACUAGGCAGACAUGCAGAUAUAUAGACAGACGCUCGACCACACCAAAUAGAAGUUGGAGCUACUGCCUCAUGAUGACCUCCACUGAGUGCAGUGUUAACCAAGCAAGAAGGAAUAUGACCAGAUAGAUUAUUAUGAGAAAGAUCAAUCAACCGCACUUCCUUCAACUGGCAUAAUUGAACUGGUAUUUCGCCUUUAAUAUAAUUAUGAGCUAAAAGAAGGUAGUUUAACUGAGGUAGUCUGUCAAUCCGAUUUGGAAUACUUCCGUGUAAGCGGUUAUAACUAAGAUCUAAUGUCACCAAAUAAGGGCUGUCAUGGAUUAUACUUUCCAACCGUCCUUCUAUCUUGUUUUUUGACAAAUGAACUUGUUCGAUAUGUGCUGGACUAAAACAAGAUGGUAACGUUCCAAAAAUAGAAUUGUUUGAAAGGUCUAAAAUCUUCAGAGCACUAAGCUGACAAAACUCGAUUGGAAUUGGUCCUUCAAGAUUGUUAUUGGGCAUUCUAAUACCUUCUAAAGCUGACAAAUUACCCAACCAUCUUGGAAUCUCACCAGAGAGAUGAUUAUCACUCAGAUACAAUCCUCCCAACAAAUAACACUUAGAUAAGCUUUCUGGGAUCUCUCCAAUGAAUUUAUUACCAUCCAACUGCAACCUCAUCAAAUUUGUCAAGUUAAAUUUUUUAGAGAAUAUAUGACCUUGCAAACUGUUGUUUGACAAUGCAAGAAUUUUUAAUGAGAAGCAACCGGUGGCCAUGCGCUCAGGGAUUUCACCAGUCAACUGAUUGUCAGAUAUGUCCAACCUUUCCAACAUUUUCAUAUCAGCAAAUGAAGAGGGAAUGCUACCGUUGAAAGCGUUUCUAGAUAAGUUUAAAUCCAUUAAACCUGGCAGAUAUGUUCCGAUUUCUACCGGAAUAUGGCCGUGAAAGAAAUUGUUGGAGACAUCCAAAGUUGCUAAAUUCUGGUGGGAAUGAAUUGGCAUUCGAAAUGAUCCAAAAAGAGAGUUAUUGGCAAGAAGAAGCAUCACUAAGUUUGUAUUGUUUUCUAGCAACCAAUUUGGAAAUUGUCCACUCAAGUUAAGGUGUGAGAGAUCAGCAUUCUUCAAGUCAUGCUGAUGGUACAUGCUGAUGGUACAGAAAUAGGGAUUUGGAAGAAGUGAUUAUUUGAAAGUAUGAGCUUUUCAAUAGAUAUUAGAUGCAUGAUGGGAGAUGAGGAGAUGUUUUCAGUAAGUUGAUUGUAAGAGACAUCUAAUACUCGAAGGGAAGUCAAAUUUGCCAAGCACCAUGGCAAGCUACCUCUCAAAUCAUUACUGCUGAUGUAUAACUCUUGCAGAUGCACUAACCGACAAAGUCCUGAAAAAUAUAAUUGCAUAAAACUUAAAUAAUUGCAUAAAAUCUUUAAAGUACAUAUUAAAAAUUAAGUUUGAUCACUGAUAGUUGAACAGUAGAAUCUGACGUAAUGGCAACAAAACAAUUGUAAAAUUAUACGGCGUUAUAGUGUUAAGUAAAAAAUUAGCAUUAUUUUUCAAUCAACACUACAACAGCACACUAUUUUACAGUAGUUCAUUAUUAUGGCUCCCUAUCAUCUUUCACUAAGUUUAUAAAUAGCUAGCAUUUUAGGUAUUCUCAAUUAAAUUUAGUUAAGAUGCGCGAGAGGGAGAAAGAGAAUCAUUAAUUAACCUUGAUCAAGAAUGGUGUUUUUAUUAAGACUUGAAUAUGUCAGUGAUAAAAACUUCAGAGAAGGCAUCGAUUCGCCGACAAUUUGAAGAAAACUGGUGUUGACGUCAACCUGCACCUCACCCAUGUCCAGAUUUUCCAAAUUCUUGAAUUUACGAAAAUCUGCAAGCAAUAAACAAGAAAUGGUCAUAAUUUCACAUAAUGCAAGGGAAUAAGGAUAAUCCGGUCCUGUUCUUUUCUUUUUUUUGGGUUAAUUUACUUAUUUUUCUUUACUCUUCUAAGCGAUCGAAAUAUGCUUAACAUAACAGAACUAAAAUUUCAUUAACCUUAAUCAAGAAUCCUACAAUUUAGAGAAGGUAGAACUAUUGGAUAGUGAAAAUAUAUAAAAUUUAAAAGAAAAAAUAUUAUUUUACGGGAGAAAAUUAACUUGAAAAGAAAGAAUCAUUAUCGAAUUAAUAUCACAAAAGCUUCAGAUACCCGUAAUUUACCUUGACCAUGCAGGGCACCCUUGAGUACACUAUCUUGCAUUGACAAAUACUUUAACGAAGUGAAUGAUGCGAUGCUUUGCAGAAGCUGGCUUACGUGGAGAUCAGACUCGUCCAAUAUCAAUUCUUCCAAGUUGGUCAAAUUGUGCAAUUCUAUUUACAAAGAAGUGGAAGCAACAAAUUUUAGCUAUAUAUAUUAAUUCAAUUAUUUUCGACAUAAAAGAUUUACUUACCUUGAUUAAUUACUGUUCCCGUAAAAUUAGUAUACGAAAGGUAAAGUGUUUUGAGGGACGGUAGUGAUCCUAUUGAUUGCAACGCCUUACUUCCAUCUAUCAUUGCAACUUCCGUUCCCCCUAAGACAAGGGUAUUCAACUUCCUCAAGCCUCUGUAAUCUGUUUGGGAUACAAUUUCGGAUUAAAUUAUUUUGGAUAAGUGUCAUUGGGCAUUCCCUAAUCAAAUCAAUUAAAUUGUCCUCCAAAUUAUUAAUAUUUGAACAUUUUGUAUACCUUUAGGAACCACUAGAUUGUCGAUUGCAUUGGCGCUCAUGUCCAGCUCCUCCAAGUUACUCAAGGAAUUCAGUCCUGCAUUUUUGCCAACACUUAAAACAGGGUUAAUUAAAUAACUUAUUUUCUUCUUCUUUGUUUUAAAUCUCGGCGCAAAAGAAUUUUAUUAAUAAGCAAAAAAGUACACGGCUAAUCCGAAAAACCUAAAAAGUAGUUGCCAAGGGCCUGACCGAUGAUUUUAAGUAGGUAUAUUUGUCUGACAACGGCGAAUUUAAAUUUGUAAGGAAUAAAAAUUUAUUUCAACUUUACCUAUUGCUAUACCUUAUUCUUGUUUCAAAAAAUUUACUUAAUUAAUUAAGUAAAUACAAGUUGGUUUAUGGAAGCCAAUAUCUGAUCCCUUCACACUAACCAAAAUACUAAAUUCAGCGCACAAAUUUAUAUAUAGGCAGAUAAAUAAGAUGCAUGUUAUUAUGGCUUACCUUGAACAUCAAAACUUUUUUUUUUUUUUGAAUCUAAUCCACUCUCAGGAUAUAAACUCGUUAACAAAGAAAGAGCAUUAGAAAAAUCAAAAAACUACAAUGUCGAUUUCCGUUUAGUGUACAAUUCUUUACUUUUGAAGACAGGACAUACGAAAUAAUUAGAUUGAAUUGUGUCUGAUUAUGAGAAGCAUUGAAAAUUGCGUAUAUUGAUAAUUUCUUAAUCCUAUUUUUAUAAUAUUCACAGCCUCGAAGCUUAAACUAGCAAGAGUCUAGCUAGAUCUCGUAUCAAUACUUCCAGCUGGUCGAUGAAAUAAGAUCCACAAAGAUGGGACACGGGAGAAGGGAUGAAGCUUGCUUACCUUUAAUAUCAAUACUUCCAUUCAAUCGAUUAGCAGCCAAUAAUAAGUGUCUGAGUGAUGAAAGACCACCUAGAGAUGAAAAGAUGCUGUUGUUGAAGUAGUUAAAGCCUAAAUGAAGAAACUUCAAGUUGUUCAACCUUGAUAACCUAUCUAGACCUGCCAAAAAAUAAAAAAUAAAACCUAAUUUAAUUGUAUCACGUACAAAUUAAACAAAAGCCAAAAGGGAUCAGAUAAAUGCUAGAAAUUACGAGGGAGAAUUAGAGUAGAGUAAAUUGAGGACCUUCAUUUUCAACACAACCGGCUAUAUUGUUCCCAGUUAAAUCAAGAGAUUCUAAUUGUUGAAAUUGAGAAAACAGAUAAGCAUUCAUAUGCCACUCCGCUGAUUCCCAAUUCCUAAAUUGAAGAUCUAAUUUAAUCACUCUGCCAGUGGUGUUGUUGCACUCAACCCCUUCCCACUGACAACAAUCUGAAAAAUUCUCAUCAUCUCCCGCGUCUACCCAGUUUUGAAGACGUUGAUCAUCAUUGAAGAAAUGUUUUGAGUUUGAGGAGAGCAGACCUCUAGACUUUAACGAUUACUUUGCAUGAGUCCUUGAAUAUUGACCAACGAAUUUCUUUAUUGAUUGCAACGAUAAGUGUCAUUGGGCAUUCCCUAAUCAAAUCAAUUAAAUUGUCCUCCAAAUUAUUAAUAUUUGAACAUUUUGUAUACCUUUAGGAACCACUAAAUUGUCGAUUGCAUUGUCGCUCAUGUCCAGCUCCUCCAAAUUACUCAAGGAUUCCAGUCCUGUAUUUAUUCCAACACUUAAAACAGAGUUAAUUAAAUAACUUAUUUUCUCAUUUUUUUAUGUUAAAUCUCAGCGAAAAGAAUUUUAUUAAUAAGAAAAGAAUAUGGCUAAUCCGAAAAAUUUAAAGCAGCUCUCAAAGGGUUCGACUGAGUGGCUUUAAGCAAGUAUAUUUAGCUGACAACCAUGAAUUUAAAUUUGUAAGGAAUUAAAAUUUAUUUUAGCUUUACCUACUGCUAUAUCUUUUUCUUUUUUCUUAAAAAAAUUAAAAUAGAUUAAACACGAAAUUUUAAUUUGUUAAAUAUUAAAUGUCGUUAAUUAAUUAAUUAACUAAAUACAAGUUGGUCUAUGGAGGCCAAUAUCUGAUCCCUUCACAAUAACCAAAAUAUUAAAUUCAGUGCACAAAUUUAGAUACAUGCAGACAAAUAAGAUGCAGGUUAUUAUGGCCUACCUUGAACAUCAAAAUUUUUUUUUUUCAAUCCAAUCCCUCUUAGGAUAUAAACUCGUUAACGAAAAAAGAGCAUUAGAAAAAAUAAAAAGCUACGAUGUCGAUUUCCAUUUAGUGUACAAUUCUUUACUUUUGAAGACAGGACAUACAAAAUAAUUAGAUUGAAUUGUGUCUGAUUAUGAGAAGCAUUGAAAAUUGCAUAUAUUGAUAAUUUCUUAAACCUAUUUUUAUAAUAUUUAAAUCCUUGAAGCUUAAACUAGCAAGAGUUUAGCCAAAUCUUAUAUCAAUACUUCCAGCCGGUCAAUGAAAUAAGAUCCCCAAAAGAUGGGACACGGGAGAAGGGAUGAAGCUUACUUACCUUCAAUAUCAAUACUUCCAUUCAAUUCAUUAAUACCCAUUGAUAAGUGUUUGAGUGAUGAAAGACCACCUAGAGAUGAAAAGAUGCUGUUGUUGAAGUGGUUAAGGGUUAAAUCAAGAAACUUCAAGUUCUUCAAACUUGAUAACCUAUCUAGACCUGUCAAAAAAUAAAAAGUAAAAAAUAAAAAAUAAAACAUAAUUUUAUUGUAUCACGUACAAAUUAAACAAAAGCCAAAAGGGAUUAGAUAAAUGUAAGAAAAUACGAAGGAGAAUUAAAAUAGAGUAAAUUAAGGACCUUCAUUUUGAACACAACCGGCUAUAUUGUUCCCCAUUAGAUCAAGAGACUUUAAUUGUUGAAAGGGAGUAAACAGAGAGGCAUUCAUAUACCACUCUGCUGAUUCCCAUUUUCGAAAUGCUAGAUCUAAUCUAAUCACUCUGCCAGUGGUGUUGUUGCACUCAACCCCUUCCCACUGACAACAAUCUGAAUAAUUCUCAUCAUCUCCGGUGUCAACCCAGUUUUGAAGACGGUGAUCAUCAUUGAAGAAAUGUUUGAGUUGGAGGAGAGCAGACCUCUCUUGCUCCAAACACCCCUCACUCCACCACCCUUUUACUACUAAUAAUAUGAAAAUUAACUCACUCACCCACACUCUUUUUGAACCACACAUUAUAUCUUCUUAAUUACAAUCACCUACACACACUCUUUUCUCUUCUGCAACAACGAGAGGAUAGUUCUACGCUAUUUAUAACCAAUUGCACUGAUGAUACUCCCAGCUUUUAAUUGACUUUGUCUAAGUCUUGCAUGCGUUUUUCUUCAUUUCUUUUUAUUUUUUCUGUUAAUAUAUAAUAUGAUUGUAAUAUAUUUUUAUUUAAUUCAGUCAACUGAAAAUAUUUCCUCUCCGUCCAUAAAUAUCUGCACAGCCUGGAUUCUGACGGAAUCUUGGGCAACGCGGGUACCCAAACUUCACUAGACAAGCUUAUGGGCUAGCUCAAAACUUGGAUUUUUAUGAAGAAUAUUAUAAAAUAUCUAUUAUUUUGUUCAUUUGGUCCACUUAUUAUCUAUUUUUAAAAUUUUAAACAUUUAAAACUCAUAUUUUUAAUUCCAAUUUCAUUAAAAUAAAAUUUGAAAAUAUAAAAUUAUAAAAUAAAUUAAAUAUAUAUAAUAUUAUAAAAUAUAAAUUCUAGGUUUUUUAAGUUUUGAUUAAAAAAGUCCGAGUGUUCAAAAAAACAUGCUUAGGCCAGAUCUGGGUAAUACCAUACCUAAGAACGGUCGGAGUUUUUUUCCAUCCCUACCAUCCUUACACACUAAUAAUUGGCUGAAUUUAAUCAAACUCUCGAUUUGCUUUCACAUUAUCUUGGGUUUGAAACUUCACAGGUACCUAUAUAUCCCUUGAAUGAGAGUAGAUUUUCACCUAAAUUUGAAUGCAAACAUGUGCGACACGUCCUGGUCUAGGGAGAAUGAAUAGGAUGUCUUCAUAGGGCCAUAACUUGAGUAAUUGGUAUUUGUCUUAGGCUCAUAAUAUAUCAUUAUGAAGUUCUCCAAGAAAGGAGAGUGAGUCAAAGUUACAUUUUCAAUAUGGGUUGGCAGAUCGUCGCCAAAUUUCUCUUGGACGCUUCUAUUUUUGCCUGAAGAUAUCUUUCUUAUUUUUGAUAUUCUUGUUGGAUUUUUAUCUAUUUUUGUCAAUAUUUGAUUUAAGUGUCAUAUAUUUUUAAUUUGUUUUGGCAACUUAAAUUUUUAUUAUGCCAUGCCAAUUCAAAUUUACUUAUUUUGAUAAAUUGAUGUACUUUAGGAUUUAGUAUAAAAGGCUGUUAAAAUCCUAGUUUGUUAUUUAUACUCGUAAAAACAUAUUUUUAGAUUAGGAGACUUGUGAUCACUACUCAAAUACUAAAAAACCCCUAUAACUAAUUAAAUAAUAAGAAUACGGAAGUUAAAAUAAAAGGAUUUUUAAAUCUGUCCUAGAUGACACGACAAGUGACUAUUUAUGAUGUUACCCAAAAAAUUAAAAAUAAAUGCUAAUCUCACCGAACCUCUAGACUUUAACGAUCACUUUGGAUGAGUUCUUGAGUAUUGAGCAACCAAUUUCUCUUCUCCAUUUAUUUAUUUCACUAUAUUUCACACAUCACCCUGAUUACAAUUUUAUUUUAUUUUAUUCUUCCAAUUCAGUCAACAAGAAAAUAACAUGUAAUUUAACAAACCCUUUACCAAGUCUCGGUCUUAUGCUGAUCCCUGUAAUAGCGCUUGUAUUUGUUAUAUCAACAUUAUUUGUUGUCACGAAGAGGGUGAAGGGUCUUCUUUCUUUCUUGGAAGUUCAUGAAGGAAAUCAAAUUUUCUUUUCUUAAUUUCUUGCAUUUGGAACACAAAUAAUCUAAGCGUUUUCUAUGCAUACACAUGUUUUACACGUUAGUUGAUUUGAAUUGACCCCAAAUCGCGAAACAUUGGUCCUUAAUCCUCUCUCUCUCUCUCUCUCUCUCUAAUUACUAAAUAAGUGAAAUUAUCAUUGAAAAUUUUAAGCAACAAACCAGCAAUUUUACAUUAAAAAAAAAAAAAUUGAUAGUAAAGAAUGACCUGGUCAAUCUUUAUCCACUAUGGUAGUUUUCAACAGCUUUACAAAAUAAGUGGAAGCCAAUUAUUUCAAUUAAAAGUCAUGGAUGUUAAGACCGAAAAAAAAAAAUUAAAAGUCAUGGAUAACGACAAAAUUACCUAAAACAAAGGACACAUUGCAUUAAAUUUCUAAUAGUACUCAACUAUUAACCUUUUUACAACGACACAGUAAAAGACCACCGCCGAGGUUAUAUUUUCCGGCGUUUUGUUUUACGAUGGGACAAUUCGUAUUCUAGAAAAUAAUCUGAACACUCAUAAUCUAAUAAAAUUUACAAUGAUGCUACACAUUCUAAAUUUUUUAUCCCAAAAAGUUAUCCCAAAUGAUAUGGCAUUUAUCAAUUGGUUGGUGAGAUAAUAUAAUUAAUUCACUUGGAUCUUGUAAAGAAUUAUCAACCAAUUGAUAAAUGACACAUCAUUUGGAAUAACUUUUUGGGAUAAAAAAAUUGGGAUGUGUAGCAUUAUUGUAAAAUUUAUUCUACGCUGAUAAAUUAUUGGUUAUGCAAUUUACCGAUUAUAGACAAUUGACUUAAUAGAUUUAAUAUCUUUUUACGUAUGUUCUUUGGUCAAAAAAGAAAAUCUGAUUCUAUCUCCCGUAAUUUUUUUAAAAAUUUUUUUCUAACAUUUUCUCAUCCUCGAUUUCACAGGUAAAUUUCUAUGCUAACAAACUGUUAUUUUAAAAAAAAAAGUCAGACAAACAAAUAAAUAAUUAGGUUGCUGUUUAUCUUAAAGGAUAAAUAACAAGAAUUGGGACUCCAUGUCCUUGAGCAAAUUCAGCGAGUGAGGAAAAAAAAAAAUAAAGUUUUGAAUAAUUUUUGCGUAAACAAAGUUUAGUCAUAAGCAUGCAUGAAUGUAAUCACUAGGGCUACUAUGGGUGUUGCGGGGUGUUGACUUUUGAAGAAAGAGAGCUUUAACAAAAGAAACUAAUUUCUGUGCAAUUUUGGGACUUUGAUGAGUGUGCAGAGUAGAAAUUUAAUUUUCAAAUUCAACGUCGGAAUUUCUGAACUCUUUUGAGUAAAUGAUUGUGCAAGGUAUUAUUUAUACUUCAGCAUAAAUUUUAUUUUAUUUAACUUUGAAAAAUUAGGGAAAAUAAUUUGGUUACAAUCUUUAGAAUUAGAUAGAACCUCCCUCAAGUAUCGUGUCCAAAAACUUAUUCUUAUAAUAACAUUAUGUAUUUGUCCUGUUAACAUAAUUUUGUCACCGUCCAGAAAGAGACGAAAGGCACUCUCUUUCAUGGAAAUUCAUGAACGCAUGAAAGCAAAUCAAACCGUUUUAAUUGCUUGGAAGUUAGGUAUGUAAUGUCUGCUCAUGUUUUAUAAUUAUAAUUGACUUUGAAUCAAGAAAUGGCCUCUUUUCUCUUUUAUUUCAAUGACCAGUUAAAUAAAUUAUUUUUAAAAAAAAAACAACAGAGAAAAUUGAAAGCAAGAAAAAAUUAAGUAAACGACAAACUAAACUGAAAUGCCAGUAAUCAAAUGCAAAGAAGACCCCAUUCAAAAAAAAUAAAAUGCAAAGAAGACCUGCUUCGUCUUUGAUUAUAAUUUAUAAUGAUUAUCAUUCAAUGUGCUUUUCAAGAGCUAUUGAAUACAACUUUAAUUGUUCAAUUCAAAGUUAUGCAUAUUGUUGAUGCCGAAAUCCGAACGAGUUGGUUAGUGACUCAAUUUUAGAUCCCUGCAUCAGCAUUAAAUUUGUUUGGUGGGAAGCUGCUGGUUGAUCUCCAGGAAUAUUCUCUGACUAUGAGCAGAACAUUCAUGAGCAUAUAAUCUUCAAGCUGACGAUAUAUAAGUACUUAAAAUUACAGAGAAUGGUCAGAGGCGCCAGAAGUUUUUCUGGCGUAAACCCUCCGACGCCCAAGUCAGUUUAUGGGUUUACGGGAAAAACAAAAUAUGUCAGUUCCUAUUUUUAUGAAGAAAAAUAAUCUUAAGUAAAUGUAAUAAAAGAAUAAAAUAAAAAUUCAGAAAGGAAAGUCCCCCCUUGGCGUGAUUUUCUUGGGGUUUUUAUAACACCUUCUACCCACGUCCUUAGGUCGUGACAAUAACAAUUAAUUGAUCAAAUUUGUGCCCUGAUUUUUCGGAUGAGGUUUGUGGUGGUUUAUUUUGACUGAGUCUUGUUUCCUGGUCAUCACCUGAUCUAGGUGGUCUGCUCGAGAUCAUCAAAAUUACCACCUAGUCGAGGUCAUCUGCUUAAGCUCAUAGCACCUAGUCAUCAGCUCAAGCUCAUACCACCUAGUCAUUAGCUCAAGCUCAUAGCACCUGAUUGAGGUGAUCUGCUCAAACUCAUAGCAUCUAGUCGAGGUGGUCUACUCAAGCUCAUAGCACCUGGUCGAGGUGGUCUGCUCAACCAUUUGCUCACUUUUACUUGGAGGAGAUCAUGGUCACCGUAUUUAAUUUCCCAAACAGAUAUAUUGAAAAGGGGAAUAUUGCUUUCAACCAGCAAUCUAACAUAUUUUGAAUGUAGGCAAUCUAACAUACUUUGUUAAGAGAACUCCUAACAGAUUAAAUAUUGCUUUCAACAAGCAGUCUAUCAUAUUUUAAUCGAUCAAUUCAAAGUUAUGGAGAGUAGAGUAAUGUUAUGAAUUCUAACAGUUAAGUUCUAAUUGAUGUGUGGUAUUAAUAUAUUAUAUAUUGAAUUUUAUGACUAGUAAAAUUAAUAUUCUACCGCUUUAUGGAUAAUUACUACACUAAUUGGGACCAAAUUAAGAGUUGAUUGUCAGGAUCCCAAACACUACUAUGCGAAGGAAUAUAUUGGGCAUUAACAAGUCAGUUGGAGCGAGCAAAAAAUUUAACCCAUUUACAAAACAUCGGAAUUCUUUUCACAACAGAAGCAUUCUUGUCACUGGCAAUCAAACAACCAUUCCGUCCCUUUCUCCGCUCAAUAUCUUCGUAAAUUGUUCAUAAUCUUAGCCUUUGAUAGUAAGUUGUUUUUUCUUAAUUGUUCAUAACCUUAACCUUUGUUUAAACAAAUGUUUCAUAGUAAUCUCUUAUUUUGAUAACUAGUUAGGGCAGUUUAAUAAUACUGUAGCUUUUAAAAUAAUUAAUGUUAGUUGUAAUGUAAAAAUAAUUAGUUGUGAGGAAAAGUAAGUUGUUAAAUUUUAUUUAUUUUUUUUGUGCAAUACUAGAUACCCCAGCAUUUAAGUCCCAAUUUUGUUCCACAUAAUAUGGAAUUUAUCAAGUGGUUAAGUAAUUUUACAAAUUAUGAAAUCUAUCAUUCAAUAGAUAAGUGAUACAUAGCAUUAGAAUUCAAAUACUAGGAUCCCUAUCAUCAUUAUUAAUAAAUCUUAUUCUCCAAAUCAAAAUUUGAAAAACUAUUCCUUUUUUUUAUUCAAAAGAUGCAAUAGCGUGUAGUGGUUUUAUCAUAAGUGGCACUCAUAAAAAUAUAUUUUUAGAUUAGGAGACGUGUGAUCACUACUCAAAUACUAAAAAACCCUAUAACUAAUUAAAUAAUAAGAAUAUGGAAGUUAAAAUAAAAGAAUUUCUAAACCUGUCCUACAUCACACGACAAGUGACUAUACAUCAUGAUGUUAGCCAAAAAAUUAAUAAUAAGGAGCUUGUUACCUUACAUAGUAAUGUAAUAUACAUAAUUGUCUUGUAAUCAUUUGAUGAAAAUCAAACGCUGUAAAAAAAAAAGAUUCUAUUACUUUAUAUUUUUAUAGUCGUUCGAUUUUCAUUGAACGGUUACAUGACCAUUGUCUACCUUACAUUAUUACGUAAGAUAACAAUUGCCUAAAAAUAAAUGCUAAUCAUACCUAACCUCUAGACUUUAACGAUCACUUUGGAUGAGUUCUUGAAUAUUGAUCAACAAAUUUCUCUUCUAUAUUUAUUUAUUUCACUACAUUUCACACAUCACCCUGAUUACAAUUUUAUUUUAUUUUAUUCUUCCAGUUCAGUCAACAAGAGAAUAACAUGUAAUUUACCAAACCCUUUAUCAAGUCUCGAUCUUAUGCUGAUCCCUAUAGUAGCACUUGUAUUUUUCAUAUCAACGUCAUUUGUUGUCAUGAAGAAGGUGAAUGGUCUUCUUUUUUUCUUGGAAGUUCAUGAAAGGAAAUCAAUUUUUCUUUUUUUAAUUUCUUGCACUUGGAAUACAAAUAAUCUAAGCGUUUUCUUUGCAUAUUAGUCGACUUUGAAUUGACCCAAAAUCGCGAAACAUUGGCCCUUAACCCUCUCUCUCUCUCUCUCUCUUUAAUGACUAAAUAAGUGAAAUUAUCACUGAAAAUUUUAAGCAACAAACCAGCAAUUUUACAUUAAAAAAAAUCGAUAAUCAAAUGUAAAGAAUUACCUGGUUAAUCUUUAUCCACUGUGGUAGUUUUCAACAGCUUUACAAAAUAACUGUAAGCCAAGUAUUUCAAUUAAAAGUCAUGGAUAACAAAAAAAUUACCUAAAACAAAGAACACGUUGCUUUUAAUAAUAUACGAUAUAGGUGCAUUAAAUUACUAAUAGUACUCAACUACUAACCCUUUUACAAUGACACAGUAAAAGAGCACCGCAAAGAUUAUAUUUUCUGACAUUUUGUUGUGCGAUGGGACAAUUCAUACUCUAGAAAAUAAUCAGAACACUCAUAAUCUAAUAAAAUUUAUUUUACGCUGAUAAAUUAUUCGUUAUGCAAUUUACCGUUAUAGACAAUUAGACUUAAUAGAUUUAAUGUCUUUUUACGCAUGUUCUUUGCUCAAAAAAGAAAAUCUGAUUCUAUCUCCCUUAGUUUUUUUUUUCUAACAUUUUCUCCUCCUCGAUUUCACAAGUAAAUAUUUAUGCUAACAAACUGUUAUUAAAAAAAAACAGAUAAACAAAUAAAUAAUUAGGUUGCUGUUUAUCUUAGAAGAACAAAUAACAAGAAUGUCCAAAGUAUUAUUUAUACUUAAGCAUAAAUUUUAUUUUAUUUAACUUAAAAAAAUUAGGAAUAAUAAUUUGGUUACAAUCUUUAGAAUUAGAUAGAACCUCCCUCANNNNNNNNNNNNNNNNNNNNNNNNNNNNNNNNNNNNNNNNNNNNNNNNNNNNNNNNNNNNNNNNNNNNNNNNNNNNNNNNNNNNNNNNNNNNNNNNNNNNNNNNNNNNNNNNNNNNNNNNNNNNNNNNNNNNNNNNNNNNNNNNNNNNNNNNNNNNNNNNNNNNNNNNNNNNNNNNNNNNNNNNNNNNNNNNNNNNNNNNNNNNNNNNNNNNNNNNNNNNNNNNNNNNNNNNNNNNNNNNNNNNNNNNNNNNNNNNNNNNNNNNNNNNNNNNNNNNNNNNNNNNNNNNNNNNNNNNNNNNNNNNNNNNNNNNNNNNNNNNNNNNNNNNNNNNNNNNNNNNNNNNNNNNNNNNNNNNNNNNNNNNNNNNNNNNNNNNNNNNNNNNNNNNNNNNNNNNNNNNNNNNNNNNNNNNNNNNNNNNNNNNNNNNNNNNNNNNNNNNNNNNNNNNNNNNNNNNNNNNNNNNNNNNNNNNNNNNNNNNNNNNNNNNNNNNNNNNNNNNNNNNNNNNNNNNNNNNNNNNNNNNNNNNNNNNNNNNNNNNNNNNNNNNNNNNNNNNNNNNNNNNNNNNNNNNNNNNNNNNNNNNNNNNNNNNNNNNNNNNNNNNNNNNNNNNNNNNNNNNNNNNNNNNNNNNNNNNNNNNNNNNNNNNNNNNNNNNNNNNNNNNNNNNNNNNNNNNNNNNNNNNNNNNNNNNNNNNNNNNNNNNNNNNNNNNNNNNNNNNNNNNNNNNNNNNNNNNNNNNNNNNNNNNNNNNNNNNNNNNNNNNNNNNNNNNNNNNNNNNNNNNNNNNNNNNNNNNNNNNNNNNNNNNNNNNNNNNNNNNNNNNNNNNNNNNNNNNNNNNNNNNNNNNNNNNNNNNNNNNNNNNNNNNNNNNNNNNNNNNNNNNNNNNNNNNNNNNNNNNNNNNNNNNNNNNNNNNNNNNNNNNNNNNNNNNNNNNNNNNNNNNNNNNNNNNNNNNNNNNNNNNNNNNNNNNNNNNNNNNNNNNNNNNNNNNNNNNNNNNNNNNNNNNNNNNNNNNNNNNNNNNNNNNNNNNNNNNNNNNNNNNNNNNNNNNNNNNNNNNNNNNNNNNNNNNNNNNNNNNNNNNNNNNNNNNNNNNNNNNNNNNNNNNNNNNNNNNNNNNNNNNNNNNNNNNNNNNNNNNNNNNNNNNNNNNNNNNNNNNNNNNNNNNNNNNNNNNNNNNNNNNNNNNNNNNNNNNNNNNNNNNNNNNNNNNNNNNNNNNNNNNNNNNNNNNNNNNNNNNNNNNNNNNNNNNNNNNNNNNNNNNNNNNNNNNNNNNNNNNNNNNNNNNNNNNNNNNNNNNNNNNNNNNNNNNNNNNNNNNNNNNNNNNNNNNNNNNNNNNNNNNNNNNNNNNNNNNNNNNNNNNNNNNNNNNNNNNNNNNNNNNNNNNNUAAAUGUCGUUAAUUAAUUAAUUAACUAAAUACAAGUUGGUCUAUGGAGGCCAAUAUCUGAUCCCUUCACAAUAACCAAAAUAUUAAAUUCAGUGCACAAAUUUAGAUACAUGCAGACAAAUAAGAUGCAGGUUAUUAUGGCCUACCUUGAACAUCAAAAUUUUUUUUUUUCAAUCCAAUCCCUCUUAGGAUAUAAACUCGUUAACGAAAAAAGAGCAUUAGAAAAAAUAAAAAGCUACAAUGUCGAUUUCCAUUUAGUGUACAAUUCUUUACUUUUGAAGACAGGACAUACAAAAUAAUUAGAUUGAAUUGUGUCUGAUUAUGAGAAGCAUUGAAAAUUGCAUAUAUUGAUAAUUUCUUAAACCUAUUUUUAUAAUAUUUAAAUCCUUGAAGCUUAAACUAGCAAGAGUCUAGCCAGAUCUUAUAUCAAUACUUCCAGCCCGUCAAUGAAAUAAGAUCCACAAAAGAUGGGACACGGGAGAAGGGAUGAAGUUUACUCACCUUCAAUAUCAAUACUUCCAUUCAAUUCAUUAGUACCCAAUGAUAAGUGUUUGAGUGAUGAAAGACCACCUAGAGAUGAAAAGAUGCUGUUGUUGAAGUGGUUAAGGGUUAAAUCAAGAAACUUCAAGUUCUUCAAACUUGAUAACCUAUCUAGACCUGUCAAAAAAUAAAAAGUAAAAAAUAAAAAAUAAAACAUAAUUUUAUUGUAUCACGUAUAAAUUAAACAAAAGUCAAAAGGGAUUAGAUAAAUGUAAGAAAUUACGAAGGAGAAUUAAAAUAGAGUAAAUUAAGGACCUUCAUUUUGAACACAACCGGUUAUAUUAUUCCCACUUAAAUCAAGAAACUCUAAUUGUUGAAAGGGAGUAAACAGAGAGGCAUUCAUAUACCACUCUGCUGAGUCCCGUUUUCGAAAUGCUAGAUCUAAUUUAAUCACUCUGCCAGUGGUGUUGUUGCACUCAACCCCUUCCCACUGACAACAAUCUGAAUAAUUCUCACCAUCAUUCCAGUAGUGAAGAUGUUUACUAUCAUUGAAGAAAUGUUUAAGUUGGAGGAGAGCAGACCUCUCUUGCUCCAAACAUCCCUCACUCCACCACCCUUUAACUGCUAAUAAUAUGAAAAUUAACUCACUCACCCACACCCUUUUUGAACCACACAUUAUAUCUUCUUAAUUAUAAUCACCUACACACACUCUUUCUGUCACUCUUUGCUUCAGUUCUGCAACAACGAGAGGAUGGCUGUAUGCUAUUUAUAACCAAUUGAACUGAUGAUACUCCCAGCUUUUAAUUGACUUCUCUAAGUCUUGCAUGCGUUUUUCUUCAUUUCUUUUUAUUUUUACUGUUAAUAUGUAAUAUGAUUAUAAUAUAUUUUAUUUAAUUCAGUCAACUGAAAAUAUUUCCUCUCCGUCCAUACUCCAUAUGGGAUGUCAUAAAUAUCUGCACAGCCUGGAUUCUGACGGAACCUUGGGCAACGCGGGUAAUACCGAUUGUAUUUGUCAUAUCAACAUCAUUCGUUGUCACGAAGAAGGUGAAGAGUCUUCUUUCUUUCUUCGAAGUUCAUGAAAGGAAAUCAUGUUUUACACGUUAGUUGACUUUGAAUUGACCCCAAAUCGCGAAACAUUGGCCCUCAAUCCUCUCUCUCUCUCUCUCUCUCUAAUUACUAAAUAAGUGAAAUUAUUAUUGAAAAUUUUAAGCUACAAACCAGCAAUUUUACAUUAAAAAAAAUCGAUAAUCAAAUCUUUAUCCACUGUUGUAGCUUUCGACAGCUUUGCAAAAUAACUGUAAGCCAAUAUAUUUCAAUUAAAAGUCACGUUGCUUUUAACAACCUUUGGCAACCAGAUACAUUGAUGGGUCGAAUAUACAAUAUUGGUGACAUUACAUUAGUAAUAUUACUCAACUAUUAACCUUUUUAAAACGACACAGUAAAAGACCACCGAAAAGGUUAUAUUUUUCGGCGUUUUUUUGUUUUACGAUGGGACAAUUCGUACUCUAAAAACUAAUCAGAACACUCAUAAUCUAAUAAAAUUUAUUUUACGCUGAUAAAUUAUUCGUUAUGCAAUUUACCGUUAUAGACAAGUAGACUUAAUAGAUUUAAUAUCUUUUUACGUAUGUUCUUUGCUCAAAAUAGAAAAUCUGAUUCCAUCUCCCUUAAUUUUUUUUCUUUUUACUUUUUCUAACAUUUUCUCCUCCUCGAUUUCACAGGUAAAUAUUUAUGCUAACAAACUGUUAUUGAAAAAAAAAAGACAAACAAAUAGAUAAUUGGGUUGCUGUUUAUCUUAAAAGAACAAAUAUCAAGAAUGUCCAAAGUAUUAUUUAUAUUUAAGCAUAAAUUUUAUUUUAUUUAACUUAAAAAAAUUGGGGAUAAUGACUUGGUUACAAUCUUUAGAAUUAGAUAGAACCUCCCUCAAGUCUCGGCUCCAAAAACUUAUUCUUGUAUGUAAUAACGUUAUGUAUUUGUCACGUUAACAUAAUUGGAGUCACUGUCCGGAAAGAGACGAGAGGCACUCUCUUUCAUGGAAAUUCAUGAACACGUGAAAGCAAAUCAAACCAUUUUAGGGUGCGUGGAAGUUAGGCAUGGAAUAUUUGUAAUUGACUUUGAGUCAACAAAUGCCCCCUUUUCUCUCUUAUUUCUAUGAUUACUUAAAUAAAUUAUUUUAUAUUAAAAAAAAAACAACAGUGAAAAUUGAAAGCAAGAAAAAUUUUAGUAAACGACAUACUUAACUGAAAUGCCAGCAAUCAAAUGCAAAGAAGACCUGCUUAGUCUUUUCAAGAGCUAUUGAAUGCAACUUUAUCAAUUCAAAGUUAUGGAUAUAAUGAAAAAGCGAAUAUUGCUUUCAACAAGCAGUCUAACAUAUUUUUUAAUGUAGGCAAUCUCACAUAAUCUGUUAAGAGAACUCCACUGAAGAGUAGAGUAAUGUUAUGAUUUCUGACAGUUAAGUCUUAAUUUAUGUGUGUUAUUAAUCUAUUAGAUAUUAGAUUUCAUGACUAUUAGAAUUAAUAUUUUACUGCUCAAUAGAUGAUUACUAUACUAAUUGGGACCAAAUUAAGAGUUGAUUGUUAGGAUCCCAAAUACUACUGUGCAAAGUAAUAUAUAUGAUUACUAUACUAAUUGGGACCAAAUUAAUUUAUGUGUGUUAUUAAUCUAUUAGAUAUUAGAUUUCAUGACUAUUAGAAUUAAUAUUUUACUGCUCAAUAGAUGAUUACUAUACUAAUUGGGACCAAAUUAAGAGUUGAUUGUUAGGAUCCCAAAUACUACUGUGCAAAGUAAUAUAUUGGGCAUAAGCAAGUCAUUGAAGCGAGCGAAAAAUUCAACCCAUUUACAAACCAUCAAAUUUCUUUUCACAACACAAGCAUUUUUGUCAUCGGCAAUUCAAACAACCAUUCCGUCCCUUUCUCUGCUCAAUACCUUCCUUAAAUUGUUCAUAAUCUUAACCUUUGAUUUAAGUUGUUUCUUCUUAAUUGUUCGUAGCCUUAACAUUUGUUUAAGCACAUGUUUCCUAGUAAUUUCUUAUUUUAACAUGCUUUCAUCUUUUGAUAACUAGUCAGGGCAAUUUAAUAAUACUAUUACUUUUAAAAUAAUUAAUGUUAGUCGAGAUGUAAAAAUAAUUAGCCGUGUGAAGAUAAAUUGUUAAGUUUUUAUUUAUUUAUUUAUGCAAUGUUAGAUAUUCCAACAUUUAAGUCCUAAUUUAGUCCCAACAAAUAUAACAUUUAUCAAGUGGUUAAAUACUUUUACAAACUAUGAAAUCUAUUAUUUAAUAAAUCAGUGAUACAUAAUAUUAAGAUUCAAAUAUCAAGAUUUCUAACAUCAUUAUUAUUAAAUCUUAUUCUCUGAAUUAAUCUUGGAAAACUAUUCCAUUUUUCUUUUUCAAAAGAUGCAAUAGCGUGUGUAGCGGUUUGAAUUAAUUGUGCAAACUACUUUUCAAUGAAAUAAACAAAAAUGGGCCCUCGAUUUGGUUGCAAUACCGUGUGUAGCGGUUUGAAUUAAUUGCAAACACUCUUUUGUACUUGGCAAUGGUCUCUUGGCCCACUGUCACACCCUACGCUCUCAAACUAGCGUGUAUGAGUUCUGAAUCCUGACUAUUGAAAGGACUUAAUUCUCGUUCCAGUUAAAUUGGAUAGAAGUAAAAAUGUCUCUUCGUUAAUAGUGGAAAAGAAUAUAUAUCUCUCUUUGAUAUUAUAUGAGAAUAGGAAUUUGGGUUGUACUAGUUUAGAAUUAUCAAAGAUAGUCAGAUAAAAUUCUGAUUGUAAAUAUUAAUAGAAUCUUGAUUGUUAUAUAUCAAUGUAACAAAAAAAAAAAAAAAACUCAUAGUCCUUAUGAUUACCUGUUUCCAUAAGCCACCAAUAUCUCACCGUUGCUUUCAUUUACAAAUAAUCUAACGACCGUUUAAGAUACAAAAUUUGUAGCCCUCAAUCUCUAUUUCUUACUUUUGUUUUGUAGCCCUCGUUCUCUAUUUCUUACUUUUGUUGUUUUUCCUUUUUGAAAAAAAAUUAAAAUUAUGUUAUAACCAUUUCGUAAAUUAUUGUUUUAUUUUUCAAAAUUACAUUGCAAUCUAUUUAUAAAAUCAGGUAUUACCCUACUUUUAGUUUUAAUGCAAGUUUUGUUUAUUAUUAAAAAAGAUACAGCAUAAAAUUAUUGGAAACAACUGAAUUUAACCAUUCAAUUUUGAUCGCAUGCAUGGCAUAUAACUAAAUUGGGCCGCUUCUGCUCACCUCUUACCCGAUUUUAUAUGCUCAAAUUGAUCAGUCGAAUCCAAAUGGGGGGAUCUGAUAUUUUGGGUUGUGGUGGAACUGACGGAGCCACAUAUUUGGAUACUGACCUAGAGAUUUCUUUGAAUAAUUUUAUAGUGUUGCUCAAGUGAUAUUGCGUGAGGCUUGCGGGUGAAUCAAACACAUCAGCUCUAAACGGCAGCGUUUUGGCAUUAUAAGAUAAGAGCACUUAAAAGUCACGGGCUGAAGCACGUGUGUAAUCACUUGUUUCUUAAGAUUGAAACGGCAGUUCUUCUUUGUCGUUUAAGGGAAAGCUUUAAGUGAUGCACGUGAUAGCCGUGCGUGGCAACUUGAUUCAGUUCGUUAAGUUUGUUGCUCAACGUGUCAACAAGCUGUGCAAUCUGGAUUUAGCUGAUUCGUUGCUCUUGUAGUUCAGUUUGUGAGCUGAGCGUGUGUGUAACCGUGUUAAGAGAGAGAGAUAUCAGAGAAUGUGAAAGAUGAGUUCUCUGUAAUCUUAAGUAAAAGCCCUGUAAAAGAUCCUCCAUUGUUAUUCAAUAAAAGCUCUUCAGAAAGCAUCUCCCGUGGAUGUAGGUUGUACCUCCUUGGUGCAACCGAACCACGUAAUUGAUUCUUGUGUUGUCUGUGUUUGUUUCUAUUCUUUUCAGUUCUCUUAAUUCUUGUGUUAAAUUGAUUCUUUCUGGAUUCGUUCUUCAAUCUGUGCAACUUGGUAAAUCUAUAUCUGAGAUCCUGGGAAGUGAUUGUGUCUUGCAUAGUUACGAGCAGAUUCAUUCACUACGUAUUGUUUCAUUUUUUCCAAAAUCAAAACCACGUUGAUUUGAUUUUGAACUUUUUCUGGUGAAUAGUUUCUUCACCUUGCAGCCUUAUCAGGUCGUUAAUUAUUUCAUUCUUCACCGCAUAGCGAGACCAUCCAGUGAUUUAAUCAUGCAGCUAGUGAAUGUGAGUUUCUGCAGAUGCAUUAGUAGGUUUUUGCUUGUAUUUAGGCCCUCUACUCUCAUAGGGAAAGGCAAUUGCAUUGUACACACUAAUUUGGUUGCAUGGAAUUGAUAUUUUUUCUUAAUUAUCUGGAUCCAUCUGUUUGCCCUGUUCGGUCCAAAAUAUCAAAUAUUUAUAAAUUCAACCAUGCCAUCAUCUAAUUCCUUUGAACUUAUAACUGUUUCACAAGUUACUUAUGCUACUCUUAAUAUUUUGAGAUUGAAGACAUGUUCAUAUUUGAUUUCCUUCAUUCAGUUGCGUACUGCCUUUGGCUGCAGAAUUUGCAAUCUGACCAUCUAAUUAUGAUAAAAUUAACUGGCAUUUUUUGCAGGCGUAUCUUUCUCGACCACUAAAGAGAUGUUAGCUGAUGCUUUUUCACAAUUUGGCCAAGUCACUGAGGGUUUGGUCUAUUUCUGUUUUAAGUCUCAACCCCUCUUCCCUCUUCACUAUUUUGUAAUAUCCGAUUCUUUUCUUUUUGCAGCUACAAUAAUAAUGGAUAAAGGUAAGAAUAGAUCAAAAGGUUACGGGUAUGUGACUUUCAGUACAGAAGAGGAAGCCCAAAAAGCCUUGGCAGACAUGAAUGGGAAGGUAAAAUUGCAUCAUUUUUCUCUAAUUUACCAUGCUUAUAUUGUUGAGUUAAAGCAUCUCACAGUAUGUACUUGCAGUUACUAGAUGGACGAGUUAUUUUUGUGGAUAAUGUAAGACCCAGCAGACGUUACAAUACUGAUGCGCCCCUUGCAAGACAACUUCCUCAGUCUCCUGAAGAAAAUUGAUAUUAAAUUUGUCGAAAGUUGGAGAUUAUAGCCUAAUUUUCUGUACAUAUAUUUAGUCUUUCCUAGUAUAGCUUAUUUUUCUAAUUUCAUAUAGCUUCCUUAUAUAGCCUAGUCAGACUAGUAUAUAAUGUAAAGAUUGCAACUUCUAUGAAAAAAAAAUAUCUUCCCAAUAUUUUUUCUCAAAAUUGUUUUACAUUUCAUAUUAAUAUAUUGCAACAAUUCUGUUGUUCUUUUAUGAUUACCUUCUUGUUGACAUGGGAUAUCUCUGUUUAUCGUUUGGGUAACUGCUAUGAGGAAGGAGCAAAGAUCUGGGAGAUUGCGCUGGAUCUGCGGCUACCUUGCAAUUUUCAAGUUAUGAUAAUAUGAACGGGAAAAUGGGAGACUCUUGGUUUUGGAUUUUAGAUGAUAUAAUUGCCAUUAGAUUGAUAUCAUAUGCGCCCUUGUGUAAAUAUGACCUAAGUUGAUUUGAAGUGCUCAUAAGCUGGAAGAAACAUCGUUGGUACCUUGGCGCAUAGUGGUUUUAUUCCAUCUGAAAAUUUUCCCAGAUGCAUCAAACCCGAAAAACUGCGGUUUCGGAUACAAGUUCAUAGAAGAAAUGUACAUUCUGUUGAUUGGCUCAAAAGAAAAUUACUCUUCUCAAAGUGUGUGCGCGUGCAUAUAUAUAAUGCAUUACGAGACUAAAUACAAGCCCGUGGACACACAUCUUUUAUUGUAAGAAAUUCCGCUCAUAGAUCGUCUGCUGCGAUAAACAAAAAAAUAAUUCGUCUUGUUUCGAUAAUUCAGACACUUCUCUUGGCUUAGUGCCUCUAUCCGCUGUAAUCACCAAGUUCAGAAAUCACAUAAGCAUUAUUCUCUGCCCAAAAAAAAAAAAAAAGGCCAGCUGUAACAUCAGGAUGAAAAAUUGUUAAGGAAGCUCAUCAUGCUUGCUGUACAGUAAGCAAAACAGAAGAUAAAGCAGAGGAUUGCGGCAGCUAUAGCACACAGUUAAAGGUUGAUGACUUGGCUGUCCAGCUGGCACCUGAUGGUUAUGUGAUUACCAGUACACGUGAAGAUUUAGUUUGAUUAGUUAUAUUUAGUAAAUUGCUAAAGUAGUAGUUAGUUAUACAAUUAAGCUGUUAUCUUCAGCUGUGUACAUAAACAACAAUGUAUUCACAUUUUGAGUAUUCGGAACAAAUUGAAAGAUGUUCUAGAAUCCUCUUAGCUUCAAUUUUAUUCUCUCAACUUUCUUCCAUUUUCUCGUUUGCCAAACACUCAAUAAAACAAUUUUAACUAAAAUGAAUCUCAACAAAUGUUUUUCGCAUAUUAGAUUUUCUAUUUUUGGCACAACAAGCUAUAGGCAUCUUCCUAGGAUCAAUUGUUGAAAACUAUCCUUUGUGUCACUGAGCUAAACCAUAACACAUUCGUAGUUGUCAUUUGCCAACUUCUCCUGGGAGACUUCCACCUCGGUUAUGAGAGAAAAUCUUCUCUGAAAAAGUUACACAGGACUGGUGCAGCAUCGUGCUUCCGCAUCAAGCUUUUUUUACCUUACGGGAUGGGGGUCUUCGAAACAAACUGAUUAGAUCAUCAAGACCCUGUUGGAAAACUUGGAACUUUUGAAGUUUCUAUUCUAAUCUGUUUGCAAUGAAAUUAUAAAACAUCAAAUAAAAGAUAAAACUGAAAUUUAGAACUUCAAGCUUGAUAUGGAGAAAGAGUAAUACCCAAGUUGUUAUGACAAGAAAGCUGAAAAGCACAAUUAAAUACGAUCCCAACACUAGAAGCAACAGCAAGUCGAAUGUUACACUAGCAACCUGUAAAAAAAAUCUGCAGUAAUGAGCUUCAAGCAAAUGAAGGAAAAAGAUCAAAACUUUAUACAUAAAAAGCUAAUGAAGGACUCUGAAGUACGUAGAAGGCUUGAGACGAGCCGUCUAGCGUUCAAUGGAGAGAGAGAUUACACGUCUAAACAAUAUUAGUUUCUAGAAGGUAAAAACAAGCAGGCACCUGAUAUAUGUUGAGGCUAGCUUUAGUUGUAUCAUAGAAAGUAAACAUCCCGUCAAGCACCUCAUGUUGCACACUCACCUCGUCGGUAUGAUCGGCCAGUUCCUGCAAUCAAACAUACAGAAUAAGGUUAUACAAAGUAACAGGCUUGGGCUUUCUCACCGAAGCGGGGUUGUUAGUGGAGAUUCUGAGUCCAAUUUUACAAACUUAAGAUCGAGUUAUUCAGUCUUAAAGUCUGUUUGGUAUAGCUUCUUUAAGUAGAUUCUACACUAGUAGAGCUUUUAACAAAAUGUUGUUGGUUGUUUAGUUGUCCAUAUAACAUCUUUUAGCAAACAAUAACAUCAAGUUAUUUUUGACAAUUCAACCUUUCAAAAAAGCCCAAAAAAUCUCCUAAAAGCUUCCUACAGAGAACAGGAAACAUCAUUUUUAAUCUUCCACAAGCUCUUCCUUAGUUAAACCAAACAAGAAAAACAGUUUGAAACAGUUUUAACAUCUAAAAAAGCUCUUUGGUCCCAUAAAGAAACCAUCUGUGUAUAUCUUGGUCCUUGUAAUUAUCUUUAGGCUUUGCAAAUAUCUUCUAACACUGUUUGAAAUGGAAGAGUUCUCUUUGGAUUACAUUGAUUCUUUGAAUAGGAAAGAUCUAAACGAUAACUUUUUAAACAAAAACUAUUAAUUAAUGGCUUUCUUUAUCAGGCUGUGAUUCUUCGUUUUCGUGGCUUAAUAUGUAAAAUGUAACUAACAUAGGUACAUGGAAGGCUACAGGAACUAGAUGGUUGACUAUGCUAUUCACCCAGUCAUUGGUUGAAGGUGCAGUAGAUACCUAAUCUUAAUUAAUGUUGAAUUUACUUAUAAAUGUUCGUUUGCAAGACUUAUUUGUGUUUUUACCAGGAUAGUGAAGGCUAAAAUAGGAGUAUAUGGGAUGUUGUUAGCAAUUGCUUAUUAAGGUCUGUAUUAUCAUGAGUUGUCUUUUCUAAUUAGUUCUUGAUUUGACACUAAAGAAGUCUUGGACUAGUUAAUUAGUAAAAUGCGAUGUAAUAAUAAUAUAGUCUGUAUAUUUUCUCUACCCAAAUAGUAACGUAGUCUUUUUAUUAUAGUUCUGUAGGUGUGGGCAAUGAAGAAAGGUUAGAAAAGUUGCCUAACGGUGGUUGAAAGGGAGCAAAAACGUGGUUACUAGCUAGGUCGAUUUGUUGUCCCCCGGGGGGGUGGGGUGGGGUUUGGCAGAAUAACAUGUUGGCAACCUAUAGAUUGCUAUUUUACCUUCAAAAAAGAUCAAAUAGAUGAUGCUGGAAAGUUCCAAGUCAAAACAAGGAAAAGGGAAAAAGAAAUUUCAAUGGAGGUCCAAAGCAAUAGAUAUUCUCAUGGCAGGAGAUCUAGUAAGUCACCUAUCUGGACCACAAGCCUCCUUCUUCCUUCAAGAUUGUAAGGUUCAGUUGGGGGCCCCUAGUUUCUGACUCAAGUUCGUUAAUUGGGUUCGAAGGUAUCUGGAUUAAUCCUACUAACAUAUCUUCUGAUGUGUCAUAGUUGUAAAACAGUUGUAUGCUCUUUCAUUUAGAAUGGCUGUAUCAUACUCUUAUUGGUGCCUAGUAUUUGUGAGUUCAUAAGAGUGAUUUUUACUAUUGUAUAUUGUUAGCAGUUCGUAAUAUAUACACUUUAAUUUUUCCUCCUAGUUAAGUGUAUUAUGUGCUUUUCAUUUGCAAAAUUUGUACGAAACUUUUAUUGUGUAACUCUCAAUAUCAAUAAAGUAGGACUAUUGCCUGAUGCUUGGAAUUUCUAAGAUGAGGGUUUUUAUGAUUUUGUCAAAUUUCCGAUGAUCCAAAACGGACCUAAAUAGCUUUCAAUGGGUGUUUGCUUGACAGAAGCUUUAACAUGAUAGGUGAAGGCUCUUUUAGUUGUUAACUAAUCAUUGUACUUCCUAAGCAAGUUUGAUUUAUUGCUCUCUGGGCAAAUUUGUUGUAGGUGUAAUAAUUUCGGUCCUCAUUUUUUUUCUUUUAUAUUUUUCUAAGAGAUCCAUUUAAGCAUAUUAAUCGCAAAAAAUCAAGUGACGUACGUAAAUGAAUGGUAAAUAAUAGUGAAAAAUAGAACAAAAAUUGUACAUCUUUCGUUCAUAUAUGUAUUCUUAAUUAAUGUAAUAAAAGGUUAGGUUUAUAAAAUUACUUAAUUUAAUUUGAGAGACAAAAAGUGGUGUAACAUACGUAUAUUAUAAUACAUUCACUAACUUUAGGGAUCCUAAUUAUUGUACUAAUAUUCAACUGUAAUUGUCACAUUAUAUUAGUCAUUGAUGUUUACUAAGUUUUUCUUGAAUAAUAAUCUCAUCAUUUCAUGAUAAACAUUAAUAAUUAAGUUAAUGUUGCAGUUACCGAUGAGUUAUUAUAUUAGUUAUGAUUGAAACAUUGAGAUAAUAAUUGGGAUUUCUAACAUUAUUCUAACACAUUAAUAUUGAUAAAUUUAAAAAAUAAAAGGGGUUAAUAGUGUAUGGGUAAAAUAUGAUUAUAAUAAAUCUAAUUUUGGGGUCUAAAUGACAUAAAGGAAAACAAAAAAAGUAGAGAAAUUGAAAGAAAUAAAUGCUAUUUCCCAGAUGUUUGAAAGACGUUAAAGCAAGAUCAAUCUCGAGUCUCAGUCCAAACUGUUCACCUCACCUUGUUUGGCUGUUCAACUCUUUCACGCUCUCUCGGCUAUCUUAUCAAACACUUUAUUUACAAAAGAGAGAGCUCACAGAAAGACCAUGGGGCUUCUGCUUGGGGCAGAGCCCAAAAGGACUAUGAAAAAUGUCGCAGAACGGAAAAUUGAUGCCUAAUCUGGACCAGCAGAGCACAAAACUCCUAAACUUGACAGUUCUUCAGCGAAUCGAUCCAUUCAUUGAGGAGAUCCUCAUCACGGCUGCUCAUGUCACCUUCUACGAGUUCAACAUCGACCUCAGCCAAUGGAGUCGUAAGGAUGUUGAAGGAUCUCUGUUCGUCGUCAAAAGGUCAAUAAAAUUAGAUUCUUUUCUCUCUUAUGCUUUCCAUUUCUUCAUUUGAUAUUCGUUGUUUUGGAGAUUGUAUUACAUAUGAAGUUUGUGAAAUUAUUAUUUUUUCAAUUUUCAGGAACACACAGCCUCGAUUUCAGUUUGUUGUGAUGAAUCGACGUAAUACAUGUUGGUUUAUCGUUGCUUCUAUUUUAGUUUUGAUUAUUUGUACGUGAACUAGUUUUAAUUUCAGUGAUGAAUCACUUUAUCACAGUUCUAGCUAAUAAUUGAGGUUUUAGAACGAAGAAUAGAAUGUACCUAACCGAAAAUAUUUAUAUGCCAAUAUUACAGAGGCUAAAGUAUUUGCAAUGUUGUUGUUUAGCGUUAAAUAUUGGUCGUUUUAUGACCAUCAGGAGAGGGGGUUGGUACAAUUAUUUAGAUACCGUGAGUCUAUCUUGUCUACAACUUGUGUUAUAUUUCAUGUCUUGUUGUGCUUAUCAGUUGUUGCUAAGUUUUAGUUAUAUCUCCUAACCUUCAUGUCUUUUUGCAUAUGUUUUUGCACUGAUAAGCUUUAAUAUCUUGGAUAUGUGCAGAUAAUUUAGUGGAAAAUCUUUUGGGAGAUUUUGAGUUUGAAGUUCAGGUUCCGUAUUUGUUAUAUCGAAAUGCAUCCCAAGAAGUAAAUGGGAUUUGGUUCUACAAUGCUCGUGAAUGUGAAGAGGUAGCAAAUCUUUUUAGCAGGUAUUGUUGUUUUACUGGUUUUACUAGUGUAGUAGUUUAAGUGUAUAUUAUUAUGUUUUACAUGCUAAUAAUUGACACAUAGAGAAUAGUUUAGAAUCUUAACCAAACUUGGAAAUGUGUUUCAAAUAAUAGAGUAUGGUUAUUACAUGUUGCUUCUGCCGAGGCCUCGUGAACCUGGUUUUAGUUAUUGUUUUCCUGAAUUUUAUAUUGGAAUUAUUAUUCUUGGAAUCUGGCUUGUACAGAUUUCUUUUUUGCCUUGUGUGGCAUCUUUGAAGUUUGGUUAAUAAAACUUGUUUAAUGCUAUUAUAUUCUCCUCCUUGCAUGCUUUUUAUUUUGAGAUGUGCAGUGCCAAGUGCAAAGGAGUUAUUUUUGUAUAGAAACUGACUAUUUUAUACUAGAGUCGUUCUGUGCCCCUUAAGAUUGGAAAAAGAACGGGUUGCGUUUCCUUUACAUUUAGGAGAUAGGAGAACAAAACAACCUGGGGAGUUGGUAACGAAGCCUUCAAUUUUUUUUCAUCAUGCAAGGGUGGACCAAAGAUUCUAUAGAUGAUAUCUGGAGUCCUCGGUGUUCUCAUAUUAGGUUUUUAUGGUUUCAUUGUUCUUCAGAUUCGUCUGAAAAUGUGCAUCUCAUAAAGACAUGAUUGUUUUAUUUGUUGACUUGCAUGUGGUAAAAGUCAAUUUUCUUGCCGUAAAAAAUAGAACGCAAGAAGAUUCUUUGAGGUUCUAUAUUUGUAAAUUUUUCAAUUUGGUAUGGACUAUAGGUUGUACAGUCAAUGAGAAUUUAAAUUGGUUUUUUAGGAGUGGGGGCUGAGGUGGUGUGGGAAGAAAUCUUUAUAUUGUAUUAGUCUAUGGGAGCAACAAGUUCAGAAGUAUGGUUAGAAUGUGGAAUUUUUUCAAGCAAGUGCAAGCUCCCAGAAUUUUAAAGAAACGAGUGAAUGGCAAGAGAGAAUAGAGAGAAAAUUUCAGAGAAGAAGAAGAAACUGAGUCCAGAAUUUUAUAUAUAUAUCCCAUCAAAUACAACCAUGGAAAUACUUAUAGCAGCAAGAAUAUGCUCACAGCUGUCAAAACUAAAUAACAACCUCUCUCUAUAACAAAGAAUUAUUCUCUAAAUAGCUAAAGCCGUUAGAAACCGAAUCCUCUGCUCAUAUAUGCUCAGUGUGUGUAAUCCUUGAACCAUUUGGGUGGCUUCCUUACGCGACUUGGCUUGAUGAUAUCUUGGGGUCGGUUUUGGAUAGCCUCACUUGAGUUUGCCUGGGCCUUUUCCUCGCUAUUGAUAGAGCUAGCUGAGUUGGGCUUGUCUAACUGUAAUAUUGGGGUUGUAUCACCCUCCACUCCUUGAGGAAUCACCUUGUCCUCAAGGUGAAAAUUCGGGUACUGCUUAGUGAAUUCGGAAAGAGCUUCCCAUGUUGCAUUCUCAGGAGCACAAUCCUGCCACUGCACUAAAAUUUGGGAUUGUAGGAUGCCAUGAACCAACACUUGACGUUGAACACAAAUAGCAAUGGGAACAGACAUAGGCUGGUUAUUGUAAGACUCGCUAGGUAGUGAGUGAACUUGUGAGGCAUCCUGACCAUGAAACGGCUUGAGAAGUGAGAUGUGAAAGACUGGAUGAAUCUUAGAAUCAGGAGGUAAAUCCAAGCGAUAGGCCACAACGCCAAUACGCUCCAUUACUCGAAAAGGACCAUAAUAUCGCUUCGCUAGCUUGUUGGAUAAUUUGUUUGCAACUGAUAUUUGCCGAUAAGGCUGCAACUUAACCAAAACUUGAUCCCCGACCCGAAGCUCUAGCUCACGGCGAUGAGCAUUAGCCUUUUGCUGCAUUCUAUGUUGAGCUGCUCGCAAGUUGGUUUUCAAGGCUGUUAGGAAGGCAUCACAUUCCAGCAGCAAUUCAUCAAGUGCUUGGAUUGAAGUAGAGCUCCCGGUAUAGGAAGGAAUUACAGGUGGCUCAUGACCAUACAAGGCCUUAAAAGGAGACAUUUGGAUGCUUGUAUGAAAGCUAGUGUUGUAAGAAAACUCAGCCUAGCCUAAAUAAUCGAACCACGAUGUCGGUUUCGCUUGUGUGAAUACUCGCAAAUGCUGCUCGAGUCCUCGAUUAAUAACCUCUGAUUGGCCAUCCGUUUGAGGAUGAUAUGAUGUACUAUGCUUCAAUGUGGUACCACUUAACUCAAAGAGUUUCUUCCAAAAGCUACAAAGAAAGAUAGAGUCACGAUCUAAAAUUAUUGUACGAGGAAAACCAUGGUGCUUAACAACCAUAUCAGUGAAUAAAACAACUGUUUUGCUUGUUGUAAAGUGUGUGGGUAGAGCACCAAAAUGAGCUGAUUUUGUCAAUCGGUCAACAACGACUAAGAUAACAGUGAACCCAUGGGAAGAGGGUAAACCUGUAAUGAAGUCUAUGGUAACUUCCUACCAAACUAGUGAAGGUAUAGGCAAGGGUUGAAGGAGUCCAGUUGGUGCCUGAGUAGAGUAUUUUGUUUGCUGACACAAUAAACAAGAGGCGACAAAUAACUCCACAUCCUUGUGCAUAUUUGGCCAAUAAAAGAGAGUGGAUAGACGAACUAAUGUCCGCUUGACUCCGGCAUGACCUGCAACUGGUGUGGCAUGAAAUUCUUGUAAUAAAGAAGGCUUCAAAACAGAGUGAGAGCUGAUGAAGAACCUGUUUUUGAACCGUAGGAUUCCAUCCGAGACCGAAUAUGGAUACAUUACAGAACCAGAGGAAUACUUCUGAUGGAGAGCUAAGAGAUCCGGUAAAGACUGAUUUUCCGCACGAAGAAUAGAGAGGAAUUUAGGAAUAGGACAGCUAGCGAGUAACAGAGUAGCAGUAGAAUGGCCAUAUAAUUUAGGGACAUCAACUUCAUGUACCCUGGAUAAGGCAUCAGCUGCACUAUUAGUUCGACCCGGCUUAUAUUCAACCCUGAAAUGAUACCCCAGUAAUUUACGAACAUAAAAUUGUUGCUCUGGAGUUUGGAUAACCUGCUGAAGGAGCUCUCGAAUACUUUUCUGGUCAGUUCGGAUAAUAAAGAAAUGGCCUAACAAGUAUUGUCUCCACUUAUGUACUGCUUCGGCAAUGGCAUGAAGUUCUUUGAUAUAAGUAGAAGCGACAAGCAUGCGAGGACCCAAUUUUCGGCUAAAAUAAGCAAUCGGAUGAUCAGCUUGCAUCAGUACGGCUCCAUACCAACAUUCGAGGCAUCCGUUUCAAUAAAAAAAUCCAAUUGAAAAUCUGGCAAGCGAAGGACUGGUGCUGCAUUCAUGGCUUGUUUUAAGGCAGCGAAGGCCGUGUCAGCUGCGGAGGACCAAUGGAAACAAUCCUUCCGUAAUAAAUUUGUGAGAGGGGUAGCAAUGGAAGCAUAUGCUUUAAUAAAGCGAUGAUAGUAGCCUGUGAGACCCAAGAAUCCUCGCAAUUGUUUUGUGGUAGACGGCGUAGGCCAAUUAGACAUGACCACCAACUUGCGAGGAUAAGCCUCAACUCCAGAAGAGGAAACAAUAUGGUCGAGAUAUUCAAUGUUAUCUUGGCAAAAAAAAAUCACUUUGAGAGCUUAAAAAAAAAAUGAUUAGUAUGAAGACAAUCAAAUACUCUAUGUAAAUGCUCAAAAUGGUCUUCUAAAGAAGUGCUGUACACUAAGAUAUCGUCAAAGAAAACGAUCACAAACUUACGGAGAUAAGGAGCAAAGAGCCUAUUCAUUGUCGCUUGAAAUGUGGAAGGGGCAUUAGAGAGUCCAAAAGGCAUAACAAGGAACUCAAAAUGCCCAUCAUGAGUCCGAAAGGCUGUUUUAUAAAUAUCUCUGUCACAUACUCGUAUUUGAUGGUACCCCGCUCGCAAAUCCAGCUUACUGAAAAUACAAGCACCACCAAGCUCGUCUAAUAACUCAUCAAUAGUUGGUAUCGGAAAUUUGUCUUUAAUUGUUACCGCGUUCAAGGCUCGGUAAUCUACACAAAAACGAUAGGAGCCAUCUUUCUUUUUAACCAGCAACACAGGUGAAGAGAAUGGGCUCUGACUUGGGCGAAUAAUGCCUUGAUCAAGCAUUUCUUUAAUUAGUCUCUCCAUUUCGGCCUUUUAGAAGUGAGGAUAACGGUAUGGGCGAACAUUGACAGGUUUAGUAUUUGGGAGAAGAUGAAUGUGAUGGUCAAUAAGUCUAUGAGGAGGUAGGGAAGAUGGAGUGUGAAAUAAUUGCUCAUAUUGAUGAAGAAGGGCAAGUACAGGGGAAGGCAAAUCGGGUGGGAAGUCAAACUUAGCAGCAGUGGUUGGAACAGAGAGGGUAUCCUGCGCGUCUGUAGUAGUAUGCAACUAGAAAAAUUCAAAAAAAUUUGUCUUUAAUUGUUACUGCGUUCAAGGCUCGGUAAUCAACACAAAAAUUAGUAUGCAACUAGAAAAAUUCAAAAAGGCCGUGGAUUUGAUCAUGGGACAUGAGGGCUUGUAAUUGAUGAAAAGAAAUCAGUCUUAGAGACAAUGAGAGAUCACCUCGCAGGAAGACAGGAGAGCCAUUAUAGAAAAAUUCCGUUGACAAUGCCGCAUAGUCAUGAGAAACUUUGCCAAGCAGCUGUAACCAUUGAAUUCCGAGGACAAUAUCCGGUCCCUCAAUAGGAAGAACAUAAAGGUCGAUGUAGAAAACAUGGCCUUGCAUAGAUAAGGUGACUUGGGAACAAACAUAUCGACAAACUAAAGAAUCACCAUUACCGAUAUAUACUGGGAAUGUGGUAGUGUCUUAUACUGCUAACCCCAAAACUUCAGCCACAGCGGGUUUAAUAAAAUUAUGGGUGCUACCACUAUCGAUAAGUGCUUGCACGGGCUGUUGAUUAAUUUCACCAAGGAGUCGUAGAGAGCGAGGAGUAUUUUGGUCCGCUAAGGCAUUUAAACUAGAGAUAUCACCAACUAUAAUAGUUUCCUCAACAACAUCUGAGAUCUCAGAAUUAAUUGGUGGACCCAUCGCCUCGUCAACAUCCUCUGUUCCUAAAAGAAGCAGAAACUUACUACGGCAUCUAUGAGAGUUGCUCCACUUCUGGUUGCAAUUGUAGCAGAGUCCUUUCUCCCUUUUUUCACGAAGUUCUUGAGGAGAAAGACGCUUAAUAGGGAGAGAUGGCGUUGAUAAAAGUGGAGGUAAAGUGGACGGGGCAGGUUGAGGUGGGUUUAUGGCAGGGGCACUUGCAGGAUUAUGAUUGGUUGUAGUAGGGUGAAAGGAUGGUGUGGUGGUUUUGUGGGUUCACUUAGACCAAGGUCUGGACGUAACUUUACUCUCAUCUCCAUGUGCUUCAAACAUACGAGCCAGUGCAAAUGCCUCCAUCAACGAGGAAGGCCGUGACAGCAAUAGCUCGUGAUGAAUAUCCACUCGCAACCCUGUGAUAAAAAAUGAGAUAAGGAGAGGCUCGGAAAUACCAGUGACUUUAUUCAUGAGGUCCCCAAACUCGGUUUGAAAUUCUGCCACACUUGAUUUCUGUGUAAGUUUGGAUAGAUUGCCUUGGUGGUCCUCAUACAGGGAAGCUCCGAAACGAAACUUCAGAUUUUGAAGAAAAUCCUUCCAACUGGUAAGAAGAUCAUUCGCCUUCAUCCAUUGGUACCAAGUCGAAGCGCGACCUUCCAAAUGAAAAGACACGAUGUGGAGACAAAGAGCUUCGGAUGUGCCAUGGAAAUCAAAAUACUCAUUGAUGCGAAAAGCCCAACCGUUUGGGUCAGUUCCAUCAAAUUUUGGGACCUCGAGUUUCAUUGUUCGCAAGAGAGGAUUGGAGUCAUGGGUGCCCGAUGAACCAUCAGAUAUCUGUGGAAACGAGGGUGGAUUCGAUGGUCCAUUUGUUGGAACCGAAGGUAACCCCUUGAUCUGAGAACGCAAGUCCUCCAAGCGAGAAUCCACGGUAAGAGCAUCUCCAAAAGGCUAUAUAAGUUUUACUCUUCAAAUACUUAUUUGCUUACUUAUGUGGCAAAUAGAAAGGUGAAAAAAUAUGAUAUUCUCCAAAAGACAAUUCAAAUAGAAAUAAGUUAAUAUUAUUUUAAUCAUAUAAUUAGUUUUUUAAAGGAAAAGUCAAUAACAAUUAAAGCUCUUCUCUCUCUUUCUUCAAUGAAAAGUAAUAAAAUAUAAAUUGAAGAGGGGGAAAUUAACUCUCCAAAUUUGAAGAGAGGGAAUUAAUUCUUGUUUGAAGAAUUUUAAUUGAAGUGCCUUUUGAAGUUUUAAAUAUUGAUGUGGCUCUUCAAAUAAGUAAUAAAAUCUUAUUUAAAGAGACUUUUGGUGAUGCUCUAAGCAUGUAUUGUUGCAGUGUGUGAUGAACUGCGACCGUUUGGCUAUCAAGUUUUGUUUGUAAAGCUUUAAUGGCAAUUAGAAUCUCCGAAUCAGCCAUGAUGAGCAAAUAUCAAUGAAAGCACCAAUGUUAUGCCGCUGGUGAACACACCGAACAGCAAGGUUUCCACACUUUUCAAGCAAGUGCAAGCUCCCAGAAUUUUAAAGAAACGAGUGAACGGCAAGAGAGAAUAGAGAGGAAAAUUCAGAGAAGAAGAAGAAACUAAGUCCAGAAUUUUUAUAUAUAUCCCAUCAAAUACAACCAUGGAAAUACUUAUAGCAGCAAGAAUAUGCUCACAGCUGUCAAAACUAAAUAACAACCUCUCUCUAUAACAAAAAAUUAUUCUCUAAAUAGCUAAGGCCGUUAAAAACCGAGUCCUCUGCUCAUAUAUGCUCAAUGUGUGUAAUCCUUGAACCAUUUGGGAGGCUUCCUUACGCUACUUGGCUUGAUGUUAGCUUGGGGUCGGUUUUGGAUAGCCUCACUUGAGUUUGCCUGGGCCUUUUCCUCGCUAUUGAUAGAGCUAGCUGAGUUGGGCUUGUCUAACUGUAAUAUUGAGGUUGUAACAGAAUGGCGCCCAUGUGAUAAAUAAGGAGUUUUAAGAAGCAUGCCAUUUGCACUAAUUAAUACUGUCAGACAUGUGAUUCCAUGAACAUGAUGAUGAUCAUCAGUUACAUUUAGUUAGUGAUGGUGGUUUUCACGUGUUUUAACAAACAUGGUAGUAGCAAUUUAUGAAUAUUCAUUACAAAGUGGCUUGUGUUUGGAAAGCAAACAAUAUGACUAUUUUGAGUGGCUUGCGUGUCUACAUAAGUUUUUGCUCUGGCUGCUAAGUUAUUGAAGUUUGACCACACAAUUCUUAUCCAUUUUGUCAUUUUUGUUUGGAGGAUUUGAUGAUUUUCAGUGGGACAGUAGGGUAUAGAGAGUAGUUAUCGUACAUCCGCCUUGGCCGUACAGCAGUGUGUUAGUAAAGUGAUUGCAUUUGCACUUUCCUAGUUGCACCAACAUUUUGCGAUUUGGGAAUUUAAAUGAUGAAUUCUUAAUAAUUCACUUGGUGUUAAGCUUUUCAAUUGUUUUACGGCUAGAAAAUAUUGAGAUUGAGAAGAAAAACAUCUCCUGAUAUGGAUGUUGUAAAUUUUUUUUUUUUUUAACUUUCGUUCUUUUUUUAACUAUUUUAUAAUUUGCUAAAGAGUUGUUUGAGAAUCUCUACAGGGAUAAUGGUAUUUUCAGUUUUACAGAACUUGAUAGUAAAUGAUCAUGUACAACUUCUUUUAUUUAUUUUUUAUAUUUGACAUUCACUAUUUGACCUAAUCGAUAUCUUGGUCCUUGUAUAUUAUCUUUAGGCUUUCCAAUUAUCUUCUAACACUGCUUGAAAUGGAAGAGUUCUCCUUGGAUUAUAUUGAUUCAUUGAAUAGGAAAGAUCUAAACGAGAACUUUUUAAACAAAAACUAUUAAUUAAUGGCUUUCUUUACCAGGCUGUGAUCCUUCAUUUUCGUGGCUUAAUAUGUAAAAUGUAACUAACAUAGGUACAAGGAGGGCUACAGGAACUGGAUGGUUGACCAUGCUAUUCACCCAGUCAUUGAUUGAAGGUGCAGUAGAUACUUAAUCUUAAUUAAUGUUGAAUUUACUUGUCAAUGUUCUUUUGCAAGACUUAAUUUUGUUUUUACCAGGAUAUUGAAGGCUAAAAUAGGAGUAUAUGGGGUGUUGCUAGCUAUUGCUUUUUAAGGUCUGUAUUAUCAUGAGUUGUCUUUUCUAAUUAGUUCUUGAUUUGACACUAAAUAAGUCUUGCACUAGUUAAUUAAUAAAAUGAGAUAUAAUAAUAAUAUAGUCUGUAUUUUUUUCUCUAUCCCAAUAAUAAUGUGGUCUUUAUAUGAUAGUUCUGUAGACGUGGGCAAUGAAGAAAGGUUAGAAAAGUUGCCUAAUGGUGGUUGAAAGGGGGGAAAAAUCUGGCUGCUAGGUCGAUUUGCAUAUUGUCAUCCAUUGGAGAACUUAAGUUGAGUAGGCGAUAUUUAUUGACAACUCAUUGAUGUUUUUUUUUUUGGGGCCCCCCCGGGGGGAGGGGGGGAUAAGAUGUUGACAACCCAUAGAUUGCUAUUUUAGCUUUAAAAAAGAUCAAAUAGAUGAUGCUGGACAGUUCCAAGUCAAAAAAGGAAAAAGGGAAAAGAAAUUUCAAUGGAGGUUCAAAGCAAUAGAUAUUUUCUUGGCAGGAGAUCUAGUAAGUCACCUAUCUGGAAAAAUGCCCCAAGUCUCCUUCUUCCUUCAAGAUUGUAAGGUUCGGUUGCAGCUCCUGGUUUCUGACUCGAGUUUUCCUAAUUGGGUUGGAAGGUAUCUGGAUUAAUCCUCCUAACAUAUCUCCUGAUGCAACAUAGUUGUAAAACAGUUGUAUUCUCUUCCAUUUAGAAUGGCUGUAUCAUACUCUUAUUGGUGCCUAGUAUUGUUGAGUUCAUAAGAGUGAUUUUUACUAUUGUAUAUUGUUAGCAGUUGCUAGCAGUUGAGGCAAACUAAUUCUUGUUACAAGCAUGUUUAUGGGAGGACCCUGGAUGUGAUGCUAUCUUUACACAUAUAUAAAUUACAACUGCCAUUUAUCAAUUUUUAAUUUUUCUAUUGUAAAAUUGUUAUUAACAUUAUUUAUUUGGCUUCCAAAUGCAGGAUUCUUCCAAGGUGCCUCAAAAGCCGAAAUUUGCCACAUCUAAAAGGUAAUGGUAGCUCAAUUUAUAUUUCACAAGUUGUAUAUUAUUUUUAGCCCCCAAGAAAGUAUUAUGCUCUUUAUCAUAUAUUUUAUUUGCACAAAGUUUUUAUUUGUAGCCUCUCAUCUGUUUAAGUAAGAAGUCUGCCAUCUUACAUUGCUAUUACCAGUUUUGAUAUGUAGUAGCAAACAAUUUUUCUUUCUUUUUAGUUGUAUAAUGGUCUUAAUUUUAUAGCUAAUUUAUGUAUGACUACAAAAAAAGUCUUCGAGCAUGUGAUGUAGUUCAAAAGGCACUGAUAUAGUGUUUGUGGACAGCAUCACAUUCUUAGUUAUGGUAGUGCUUGAACCAUAAAUAUGCCCAAGUUACUCUUUCCUUGCACUUGAAAGAGUGUUUUGUUUGGGGAUUUGUGUUUGGUUGCUGGUAGUCCUGUUUGAAUAUCCAAGUAAAUAGACAAUAGAUACCAUGCAAGCUCGCCUUACUCGUAGGCAUGGUGCAUGCUGAACAAGAGGCAAUUUCUAUGGAUCCUAAAGAGGUAAUAAAUUCAGAAGUACACACACUAAUUAACAAACACCACCUCCAAAUUACAAAAUGUUUUAAUCCUUCACCUUCUCACUUCCUAUAGAAUAGCUAACCCUUCACCUUCUCACUUCCUAUAGAAUAGCAUCAUACCAGGCCCUUGCCCUUCUCUUUCCUCUGCACUUAACGGGAGAAUAGCUUUCUCUACUCUAGCGAAAACUCGAAGAACAGCACAAUGAUGAGCAAUUUCGAAUAAGAGGAGUUAGAGAAGAGAGAGAAAAAAUUCUUUGCAUUGCACUCGAGGAUUCAGCUUUGAUUUAUUUUUAUUCUCGUGUUUAGCUAAGGUGAAAUCACCUUCCAUAAGGGUCCACUCAUCAUUUUCCCUACCCUCUUAUAUCAUCUAAUUAUUACUUAAAUUGGUCAUCAAGUUCCUUUUAUGUUAAACUGCAGUGAGUUUGAGGAACUGGAAGCUGUUCCAACUAUGACAGUUAUGGAUGGUCCUCUAGAGUUGGGUGAAAUGAGAUAUGAUAAUAAUAUAGUCUGUAUUUUUUUCUAUAUCCUAAUAAUAAUGUAGUCUUUAUAUGAUAGUUAAAUAAUAAUGUAGUCUUUAUAUGAUAGUUGUGUAGACGUGGGCAAUGAAGAAAGGUUAGAAAAGUUGCCUAAUGGUGGUUGAAAGGGGGGAAAAAUGUGGCUACUAGGUCGAUUUGCACAUUUGUCAUCCAUUGGAAAACAUAAGUGGGAAAAAUGUGGCUGCUCGGUCGAUUUGCACAUUGUCAUCAUUGGAGAAUAUAAGUUGAGUAGGCACUAUUUAUUGACAACUCAUUGAUUUUUUUUUUGGGGGCCCCCGGGGAGGGGGGGGUGAUAAGAUGUUGACAACCCAUAGAUUGCUAUUUUAGCUUUAAAAAAGAUCAAAUAGAUGAUGCUGCAAAGUUCCAAGUCAAAACAAGAAAAAGGGAAAAGAAAUUUCAACGGAGGUUCAAAGCAAUAGAUAUUCUCUUGGCAGGAGAUCCAGUAAGUCACCUAUCUGGAAAAAUGCCCCAAGUCUCCUUCUUCCUUCAAGAUUGUAAGGUUCAGUUGGGGCCCCUGGUUUCUGACUCAAGUUUGUUAAUUGGGUUGGAAGGUAUCUGGAUUAAUGCUCCUAACAUAUCUCCUGAUGCGACAUAGUUGUAAAACAAUUGUAUUCUCUUCCAUUUAGAAUGGCUGUAUCAUACUCUUAUGGGUGCCUAGUAUUGUUGAGUUCAUAAGAGUGAUUUUUCUAUUGUAUAUUGUUAGCAGUUGCUAACAGUUGAGGCAAACUAAUUCUUGUUACAAGCAUGUUUAUGGGAGGACCCUGGAUGUGAUGCUAUCUUUACGCAUAUUGUAAAAUUGAUAUUAACAUUAUUUAUUUGGCUUCCAAAUGCAGGAUUCUGAAUGCAUAUUCCAAGGUGCCUCAAAAGUCGAAAGUUGCCACACCUAAAAGGCAAUGAUAGCUCAAUUUAUAUUUUGCAAGUUGUAUGUUAUUUUUACCCCGCAAGAAAGUAUUAUGCUCUCAUACCAGGCCCUUGCCCUUCUCUUUCCUCUGCACUUAACGGGAGAAUAGCUUUCUCUACUCUAGCGAAAACUCGAAGAACAGCACAAUGAUGAGCAAUUUCGAAUAAGAGGAGUUAGAGAAGAGAGACAAAAAAUUCUUUGCAUUGCACUCGAGGAUUCAGCUUUGAUUUAUUUUUAUUCUCGUGUUUAGCUAAGGUGAAAUCACCUUCCAUAAGGGUCCACUCAUCAUUUUCCCUAACCUCUUAUAUCAUCUAAUUAUUACUUAAAUUGGUCAUCAAGUUCCUUUUAUGUUAAACUGCAGUGAGUUUGAGGAACUGGAAGCUGUUCCAACUAUGGCAGUUAUGGAUGGUCCUCUAGAGUCAACUCCCUCAAAUGCUGCUGAUGCUCCUGAAGAUCCUGCUUUUGUGAACUUCUUUAGUGUAUGUUUUCUUUGAAAUAAUAUGUUUCUGCAUAAGUAUGCAACAUUACCACAAAAAUGCUGCAAGUCAUAUACUAAAUCGACAAUAGAUACCAUGCAAGCUCGCCUUACUCGUAGGCACAGUGCAUGCUAAACAAGAGGCAAUUUCUAUGGAUCCUAAAGACGUAAUAAAUUCAGAAGUACACACACUAACAAACACCACCUACAAAUUGUAAAAUGUUGUAACCCUUCACCUUCUCACUUCCUAUAGAAUAGCGUCAUACCAGGCCCUUGCCCUUCUCUUUCCUCUGCACUUAACGGGAGAAUAGCUUUCUCUACUCUAGCGAAAACUCGAAGAACAGCACAAUGAUGAGCAAUUUCGAAUAAGAGGAGUUAGAGAAGAGAGACAAAAAAUUCUUUGCAUUGCACUCGAGGAUUCAGCUUUGAUUUAUUUUUAUUCUCGUGUUUAGCUAAGGUGAAAUCACCUUCCAUAAGGGUCCACUCAUCAUUUUCCCUACCCUCUUAUAUCAUCUAAUUAUUACUUAAAUUGGUCAUCAAGUUCCUUUUAUGUUAAACUGCAGUGAGUUUGAGGAACUGGAAGCUGUUCCAACUAUGGCAGUUAUGGAUGGUCCUCUAGAGUCAACUCCCUCAAAUGCUGCUGAUGCUCCUGAAGAUCCUGCUUUUGUGAACUUCUUUAGUGUAUGUUUUCUUUGAAAUAAUAUGUUUCUGCAUAAGUAUGCAACAUUACCACAAAAAUGCUGCAAGUCAUAUACUAUUUCAUAUGUUAUCACUUCUUUUUUGUGUGAGGUUCAACUUCUAUGAAGUACUUGUAUAUGACACCUGUCCUUAUCAUUGCAGACAGCUAUGACUGUGGGGAAUACUUCUAAUGCAGCAAUCUCUGCACAACCUUACCAGUCCAAUACAACUAUUUCUGUACCUUCUCAUCCCGCCAGUGUUGCUUCUCCUAUCGUGCCAACCUUGCAAAUACCAUGCCCACCUCUAUCAGCACCUACCCCUUUAAUGCUACCCAUUGACACCUCUGAAUCUGGCAACUGGAUGCCUAAUCUUGUAAAGCCUUCCUUAUUCUUUGUUGCUCCUCCAUCCUCCUCUGCACAUAUGAUGCAGCCUGUCUCUUCAUCUACACCAACAGCUCCGCCACUUAAUCCUCCCUUGAGUCUGCAAUGCCCAUAUGGUGCCCCAGUGCUUCAACCUUUUCCGCCACCAACCCCUCCACCAUCUCUUACUCCUGCUCUUACUUCAAACAGUGGACCAUUUAUCAGCAAGGAGAAAGUCCGGGAGGCACUGCUGGUGCUUGUUCAGGUUAGGAUUUCUGGUUAUGCAAAUGCUUGAAGCUGGAAUUGCAUCUGACAUGUUCAUGUUUACUGUUAUUAAGAUUAGGGGAACUUUAUCAUACAGCUGGUAUAAUCUUCUUAAUUGCAUAUUGAUAGUAGAUUUAAAGCUAGCAUAUUUAUAUUUGUAUUGUCAGAAAUGCUCUUUGGAUUUCUUAUGUACAAAAAUGCAUUCAUAGCACGCAUUUUAUCCACUCUUUUAAGUGACUUUGAAUUACUGUUUACUUUUUGAUGAUAUCUAAAUUGACAUGUAAAUAAAUUUAUGUUCAUCAGUGGAUUGAACUAUUUUUCACUUAUCCCAGUCUUCAAAAUCAUGAACCCCGCACCACUUUGCCAUGCUUAGAGCGCAAACACUAAUGCGAGACACUUAUUUUUUGUGAUGCAUUUUCAAUUAUUAUUUUUUUCCUUGUAUAUCUGACCAGCUUUUAUAUGUAAUAGGACAAUCAAUUCAUAGAGAUGGUCUAUCGAGCACUGCUGAAUGCACACCAUUCAUGACCAGCUGAAAGUGAUACCAUUAUGUAGCUGCUAGAUUUUGUCUACCAUGUAGCUUUCUGCAAGUGUAUAAAACCCAGUUUGUAUAGUGUUUCAACUCAAAUCAGUAUUUUUUAUGGAAAAAUUAUUGGUAUCAGUAAUUUUUAUGGAAAAAUUAUUGGUAUAUAAUUAUUCUUGUUUCUUUUUGUUAGGGAUGAUGAAAAAACACUUGCAGGAUUUAAAUGUCAUUUUUGGGUUUGAGCUUAUUCUAAGUUACAGGCUUCGAAAGUGUGUUCAUUUAUACCCACAAUUUAGUUAUGCUGGUUAAACAAAAUGAGCUGGGAUAGUUUUUGGAUUCAUGACAUGAAUAAAAUUGGAUUAUUUUGUGCACGGUUUGGUGUGUUAGGUGUGUUUGUUGUGAGGAAGAGGGCAAAAAGAAAAAAAAAAUUGUGGGUUGUGAAAUUUCUUAAAUGAACCUUCUCUUAUUGGUUCUUGUUUGAAAGUUAAAUUGUAAUCGUAAAAGUUGUUUGGAAGCUAAGAAAAUGAUAAAAAAACUUUCUGGGAAACUCUUGACUUUAUUUAAUCUCACGUUAUUACUUACAAAUACAAUCACAACAAUAUUUAUACUAACACUGAUAUCUCAACCAGGAUUACAGUUGAUUAACAACUAGAGAACAGAACGUAAAACAUGAUUAACAGAUUUGUUGAGCUAGCUUCUUUUGUCAAUUAACUGCUGACUCAUCAUUGACACACGUGCUAAGUAUGCAGCUCCCUUUUGUACAUUGUGAGCUUUCUUAACAGCCCCCCUCAAACUUAAGGGCAUUUGAGUUUGCUCUUGAGGUAAUUAAAUUGAGUGAAUGUGAGAGGCCUGGUCAAGAUGUCUGCAAUCUGUUCUUCACGGGGAAUGUAAUUGAUUUCCAGCUCUCUUGCUAACACUUUGUCUCUUAUAAAGUGCAUGUCCAAUUCAAUAUGUUUGGUUCUCGAGUGGUAGACAAGAUUUUUGACCAGCUCAGUUGCACUUAUGUUAUCACACCAGAUUGUGGGCAUUGAAACACAUUCAAUCUUGAGUUUCUUGAAUAAUGACUGUAACCAUGUAAUUUCUGCACUUGCAGAAACAAGAGCUCUGCAUUCACUCUCUACACUAGACCUUGUAACUAUAGAUUGCUUCUUGAAUGACCAAGAUAUCAAGUUAUUUCCCAAGUAAAUACAGUAUGCACCUGUUGAUUUCAUAUCAUCAAUAUCACACGCCCAAUCUGCAUCUGUGAAACCUGUUAACUUUAUUUCUCCAUCAGCUGAAAAUUUCAAUCCAUAGUCUUCUGUUUCUCUCAAAUAUCUAAGCAUUCUCUUAUAGGCUAUGAUAUGUUGUAGUGUAGGUGCAGAACCGUAUUGGCUUAACUUGUUCACUGCAAAAGCUAUCUCUGGCCUGGUCAGAACUAAAUACUGCAGCCCUCCAAUUAAACUUCUAUAACUUGUUGCAUCUUCAACAUGCUGACCAAUCCAUAGUCUUCUGUCUCUUUCAAAUAUCUAAGCAUUCUCUUACAGGCUAGGAUGUGUUGUAGUGUAGGUGCAGAAACAUAUUGACUUAGCUUGUUUACUGCAAAAGCUAUCUCUGGCCUGGUCAGAACUAAAUACUGCAGCCCUCCAAUUAAACUUCUAUAACUUGUUGCAUCUUCAACAUGCUGACCCAAAGAUCCCUUAGCUUCCUUUUGAAGUUUUGUCCCUGUAAUCAUUGGUGUAUCACAUCCUUUGCAGUGAAGCAUAUCAGCUUUACUCAGCAGGUCUCUAAUAUAUUUUCUUUGGGAUAAUUAAAUGUUGUUCUUAGCAUAAGAUACUUCUAUACCCAAAAAAUAUGAGAGUCUUCCCAAAUCUUUCAAUGCAAACACUUUGCUGAAAUCUGAGAUAAACUUUUCAAGUUCAUCACUGUUAGGCCCUGUUAUCAAUAUGUCAUCAACAUAAAUCAAGACUAGUACCAUUAAAUCUUGUUUUCCCUUAAAGAAUAGUGAAGUAUCAGCUCUGGAAUUUUGAAAUCCCCAAUUUGUAACCAAACAACCUUUUAGUUUAUCAAACCAAGCUCUAGGAGCUUGUUUCAACCCAUAUAAAGCCUUCUUCAACUUACAUACAUAACAUGAUCUCUUCUCAUAAAAAAACUUCAGGUUGACACAUGUAGACAUCUUCUGUUAAGUCACCUUUCAGAAAAGCAUUGUUGACAUCUACUUGUCUGAUCAUCCAACUAUGCAUUGCAGCCAAGCUCAAUAUAACCCUCACUGUGGAAGCCUUUAUAACAGGGCUAAAAGUUUCGAAAUAAUCAAUCCCUUCAGUUUGUUGAAAUCCUUUAGCAACCAAUCUAGCUUUGUACUUUGCUAUACUGUCAUCACUAUUUUGUUUGACCCUGAACACCCAUUUGUUUCCAACUAUUUUGCAUUCAGCUGGAGGUGGUACAAGAGACCAAGUCUCAUUCCUGAUCAAAGCUUCAUAUUCUUCUUUUAUGGCCUUAUACCAAUUUCUAUCAUUCAGACCUUCUUGAACUGUGUCAGGUUCUUUGUUGAUCAAGGUGGUUGUAUACAACUUAGGCUUGAAUAUUCCAGACUUUGAUCUGGUAAUCAUUUUGUGUGUGGGUUGUGAGAUCAGAAUUAUGUUUGGAUUAUAUUCAGUGUGUUGCUGAUUGCUUGUUUGUGGUUCGGGUUGUGUUUGAGUAUAUUCAGGGAUUUGAGGGAUAACUUGUGAUGUUGAUGGUUAUGAUAAAGAAUAACUAUAUGAUUCUUGUUGAUGCACAUUAUUUGUAUGCUCAGGCAAUGCAAGAGUUUGUUCAUCACUUGGUACACUUGCUGAGUAAGUAUCUUCAAAGCUGCUGUUGAAUAAGGGUAGAGUUGAAAGAUGAUAGACUUGUUGUUUAGAGAAAUUUGACACUGGUGUUUCUGAUUUGGCAACAUUUUCAGAUGAAGAAGAAACAAAGAUUGUUGUAUAUGGAAAUACACUUUCAUCGAAAACAACAUGUCUAAGGAUAUGAACUUGACCUGAACUUGUGAGACAUUUAUAUCCCUUAUGAGAUGAGCUAUAACCAAUAAAGAUGCACUUACUGCUAUGAAAGUCAAAUUUAUGUCUUUUAAAAUCUCUCAAGUAUGGAUAACAGAGACAACCAAAGCAUUUAAGGAAGCUAUAAUCUGGUUUAUGCUUAAAAAGCUUCUCAUAUGGAGAUAAGAGUUUCAAUACAGGUGUUGGUAAUCUGUUUAUGUGAUACACUGCUGUAUGAACAGCUUUCCACCAGAAUUUAAAAGGAAGAUUAGCUUGAGCUAAAAGAGUCAAAGCUAACUCAAUUAUAUGUCUAUGUUUUCUUUCUACUAGACCAUUUUGAUGAUGUGUGUAAGGGCAUAAAUGUCUGAAAAUGAUCUCAUUCUGGUUUAAAAAAUCAGUAAAAACUCUAUAUUUUCUCCCCCAGUCAGAUUGCAGCAUCUUGACUUUGGUAUUGAACUGAUUCUCUACUUGAAUUUUGAACAAUUUGAAGACUUCAAAAGCUUCUGAUUUGAGUUUGAGUGGGUAAACCCAUAUAUACCUACUAUAAUCAUCUACAAAGCUAAUGUAGUAUUUAAAACCAUUUCUAGAUGUAGUAGGUGAAGGCCCCCAAAGAUCAGUAUGUAUCAGUUCUAAUACUUGAGUUGUUUUGGUUUUGGUUGUAGAAAAAUGUUGCUUGUGAGCUUUUCCUAAUUGACUUGCUUCACAUAUAGAAUGCACAGGAGAUAAAAUUGACUUUUGAGAUACUUUAACUUGUUUACAAGUCUUAAGCAAAUGCACCAAUACUGUUGAGCUUGGAUGACCAAACUUUCUGUAUAACAAGGUAAGUUCAUCAUGUUUCUGGUUACACUUAUUUGAAAUUGAGCUGAAACAAGUCUUAUCAAAACAAUUACAAUGAUGAGAAAUAGAAGACACAUUUGAGCAUGAUAGCAUGGAUAUUGGUUUAUGUGACUGAAGUUAAGAAAGAUGAAAGGCAGGUGAUGUGUGAUAAGCAGAAGAUGACAGAGAAGAAGAUUUAAUCAACAGCUUGUAAAGACCUUUCUUAGCAAGGCCCUGCAGAAGAACUUGCCCCUUCAUGUCCUUAACAUAACAACCAUUUCCAAAAAAUUCAACAGAGAGUGAAUUAUCAAAUGUAAGUUUGAAAAUGCUUAGUAAAUUCUUAGUGAUUGUAGGAACAAGCAACAUAUCUUUAAGUGCUAUAGUGGUGGCAUGUGUGUAAGGAUGUUUUGAAGCUCUAAAUGAUAAAAAUGCAUGACCAAUAUGAGAAAUUGACAGACCUUGACCAUUUUCAAUAAUGAGUUGAUCAGUACCUUUGUAGUCUUCCUUAAAAUGCAAGUUCUCCAUAUUGUUGGUCAAGUGAUGAGUUGCCCCACUAUCCAAAUACCAGCCAUCAUCAGCAAAGCUUUCAAAAUUAGCCACAUAAGCUUCUGCAGGUGCAUAGUUAUCAAUUUCAGAAUAGCAGCUUGUCUCAGAUGCAGGAUGAUUAUCAUAGUUAUCAUAACCUUGAUAUGGACAUAUAAAGCCAUUAAAAUUAGCAAUAUAUGCUGAUUUUGGUCAUUUGCCUCUGUUUAGACUCCUUGAAGAAGGGACAUAAUCCUCCAUAAAUCGAUGCCAGUAAAUAUCAACAGUGUGACCAGGCUUAAAGCAAAUUUGGCAAACCAAUUCUUCUGCAUUGUUUGGAAUUCCUUGAAGUCCAUUCAUACUAGUAACUCCAGUUCGAGCAAAUUGUAUUGGAUUUCUAGGUGCAUGAAAAGAGUUGACAUUAUUUGAGCCAAAUAAGUGUCCUCUUCCAUAUCCACCUCUGUGAUUUCCAUUAAACAUCCUUGGAGACUGAAAAAUAUUUCCUCUUCCAGCAGUAUGAUUUCUACCAGUAUUACCAAAUAAACAUCCUUGGAGACUGAAAAAUAUUUCCUCUUCCAGCAGUAUGAUUUCUACCAGUAUUGCUAAACUGAGCACCGGCAUAUCCUCCUCUUCUAAAAUUAUUUCUUGAUUGAGCAUAGAAUGCCCUUGGAUAAUAGGCAUUUGUAUAAGCAUAAUUUGCAUUAAACAUGCUUUUAUCAUUCUGCUCUUGUUCAAGUCUGGUUUCAUGAGUUAAUAAUAAUGCAUAAGCAUCAUCAUAGUCCAUUUUAGAACCAGUUAUAAAGGUAGCAAUAUCACGAUAGCCUGUUCCUAAGCUAUUAAGAAUUGUCAGCAUGAGAUCUUUCUCUGUUAUAGGACUUCCAGCACUAGCAAGUUUAUUUGCUACAGUUUUCAUUUUGAUGCAGUAGUCUUCAAUACUCAUUGAUUCCUUCCUAAGAGUAUUUAACUCAUAUCUAAGUUGAAGAACCCUAGCUUCAGAUUGCACACCAAAUUUCUUUUCUAAAGUUCUCCAAACAUCAAAAGAGCUUCCACAAUUUAUGACAAGAUUUAGAGUACCUUCACUUAUUGAUGAUAACAUCCAUCCAAGCAAAGUUUGAUCCUGUGACCUCCAAUUCUGAUAUUCUGGAUUAUCAAUUUUCUGAAUAUAUCCAUAAGCUCCAACUUGAGUAAAUUGUUCUUCAGGUGCUGGCUUUGUUCCAUUGAUGAAACCUUCUAAUCGAUUGCCUCUUAUGGAAGCUAAAACUUGAAAACGCCAAAGUAAAUAGUUAGAACGAUCUAGCUUAAUUGGAGUGUUGAAAGAAAAAUUUAUUUGACUUUGUUGAUUUGUUUGCAGAAAAAUUUAUUUGACUUUGUUGAUUUGUUUGCUGAGUACUAGAACUUGCCCUGUUUGGCUCUGAUACCAUGUUUGAAAGUUAAAUUAUAACUGUAAAAGUUAUUUGGAAGCUAAGAAAAUGAUAAGAAAACUUUAUGGGAAACUCCUGACUUUAUUCAAUCUCACGUUAUUACUUACAAAUACAAUCACAACAAUAUUUAUACUAACACUGAUAUCUCAACCAGGAUUACAACUUGGCUAACAACUAGAGAAUAGAACGUAAAACAUGAUUAACAGAUUUGCUGAGCUAGCUUCUUUUCUCAACUAACUGUUAACUCAUCAUUGACACACACGUGCUAAAUAUGCAGCUCCCUUUUGUACAUUGUGAGCUUCCUCAACAGUUCUUGUAUAGAGCUGGGUUACCAUCAGAAAUAAAGGAGGAAAUGAAUCGAUUACUAUAACUCCCAAGGCGAUAAUUGCUACCUAAAUCCCCACUAGCAUAUAACAAAUAAAGAGUUGCAAAUCUGAUAGUUAUUCCAAGUUCUAGUUAUCCUCUAUAAGUUGAGCUACCCAUUACUCUCACCCUGGACUAUAAUUUUUUUUAUUUUAAGUUUGUCCCAGUUUCCUUAAAGUGUAGUCUCGUCGCCUGCAUUUAACUUUCAUCUGGACCUGAAAUCUCAACCGUCAAGUUUAAUAGAGAACUUACACACACUCCAGAGGGCGUAAGUUAAUCUUCAUUCAGAUCGUGUAAAAAAGAGACCUUUUGCCUGUUAUGAUGUGUAAAAGUAGAGCCCCAAAUCUGUUAGUUUUGGCUGCCAUCUAAAGAAAUUCCUACUGCGAAUGGUUAAAAAUUUCAUUAACUGUAUAUAUACAACCGAAUAGCAGCAAUGAAAUUACUAAGUUGUUCUUGGACAAAUUGCAUCAAAUACUUUUAUUGAGUUAUUAUUCCAUGCAUGCAAAAGAAAAUUCUUUUAAAAUUACAUAUAAGUUGUAAUGUAAGGAAAUUACAUCCAUCCACGAUAGAAUCUUCUAGGAAUAAGAUUAUCUGCUACAAAAUAAUAACAAGAGGUCAUACACACUUCAACAAGGUAAAACCAUCUUCGCCGCCAGUAGGGGUUUAUGUACAAAACUCCAAUAAUUCCUAUUAUCACAAUUCCAUAAGAUACUGUAAAAGUGAUCAGGAAACUGUCCGUGUCAAUUAAACUAUCACCUUCAUUUUCGGUGGAAGCUUCUGGUGUCACUGUUGUCAAUCCAUUAUCAUUGCAACUUUUGGACAGUGGUUGUCCACAAAGAAAAGGAUUCCCUUCAUAGCUAUCUUCCUCGAAAGUUGAAAAUUGUGCUCUAUCUGGAAUUUUACCAGAUAAGUUAUUGUAUGCUACUUUGAAAACCUCCAAUGUAUUUAGCACAAUGAGUUGAGGAGGGAUUUUCCCAUGCAGUAGGUUGUAGGAGAGGUCCAAGCUUUCGAUUUGCUUCAGGUUUGAAAAUGUUGUCGGGAUUGUGCCCGUCAAAUUGUUAUGAGAUAGAUUUAGUGCAUGAAUCCUAGUAAGAUAUCCAAUUUGAGUAGGAAUCUCAC
RNAcentral lists this long non-coding RNA (67327 nucleotides) under Citrus sinensis (sweet orange). RNAcentral's name for it is "long non-coding RNA (CSIN_LNC003620)". Lineage: Eukaryota; Viridiplantae; Streptophyta; Magnoliopsida; Sapindales; Rutaceae. The record is from RNAcentral.